GCACUAUGGAUGUGAAACUUGCAGUAACUUUCAUAUUGAUAUAGCAAGUGCAUUUUAUCCUGGUAGGAUGAAACACAGAUACGAUGAUCACCCUGUAACCUUGAGACUUCCUCCAUUCUUCUAUGAGGGAGUAUUCUAUUGUGAAACAUGUGAAGACCAAGUCAAUAAUCAAAGGUGGCUCUAUCACUGUGAUGAAUGUGAUCAUUCUUUUCACAAUCAUUGCCUUCUUUGGGGUGGAAGUGUCAAGUUAGAAAGGAACAUCGAACUUGAUAUCAACGACCAGUCUACACACACUUACCUUGGUGGUGAAGACUCGUAUAAAAAAGACCCAAGCAGAGUACAGCUGUAGAUAUUGUGGGAACAGCUAUAUCUGGAAUUACUUUUUGGAAUGUGAUGGGUGUGGAUAUCGUAUAUGCUGUCCCUGUGUUAGUCAAAUCAAGGCGAGUAACAAGUCCAUACACUUCUGAUGGUGAAGUGAAGUGAGGUUGCCGAUCUGGGAUGAGCAAAAAGACCAAAUAACAUAUUUCUGGCUCCAUAUCAUCAUCUGUUUCGAGUUUUCUGGUCCAAGCACAUUGCCAGAAACAUCAUCCAUGUCCAUAGAUCUUCUUACUCAUGUUCCAGAUUUAAAAUUCAUAGCAGACAGAAACUUCUAAAUCCAAAACAUCCGAGCUCUUUGCAUGUAUAUAACAUCACCACUUCAUUCGUACGCCUUAAAGUUCUCCAGCAUGGAACCCGAAAUUCCUUCCAACAAUUAGCAUUUUUCUUGUUCACCUGCACUGUUUUUACAUUAUCAUACAUGUUCUUAUACACAAUUUCUAAAGUGGACUUCGGAGAAAGAAUUACAAUGAGAAGUGAUCUAGUUGUAUAUUGUGCGGGAGUUGGAAGUUACUUGAACCUCCUGACUCAUGGACUCCAGGGAUAUUUCAGGUAGACAGAUAAUGUCAUUACACCAGAUAAUUAUACUCAGUUGAAAAGACAGGAAAUAACAAGACAAUCAGACGAGUUGAACAAAUCUUUGCUCUUGGAGUCUUGGCAUUGAUAAGCAUAGCCAGUCAAACAGGCGGUUCGGCACAACCCGCCUUUGACAGAUGGUUAAUUUAUUGGGUGGUCCUAAAUUAGGUCAUGACAUUUCCUAAUGUCUUGAGCUAUCACUAUCUGCUAAACAAUUUAAUUUGUUUUCAGAAAAGAGAUUGAAGAAGAGGGCACUGAGUAUGUAUGUAUGUUUCCAUGGAAGAUCUAUUGUUUCAUCCAUGUCAGUCAAUCUUGACAAUAUUUGGAUAGUUUUUAACAAGCUUGCAUUUAGAUGCCGAUACAAUACUGAUCUAAGAGGGCAGGGAAAUGGUCUUGGGUACCAGUACUGUAUGUGAUGCAAACAAAUCUUGGUUAAUGGUUAAUAGUAACUUGAUGUGGGGCAUUUAUCCUGAAACUGAAAGACUAUUCAGCCGGAGAUUUCUCAGUUUGGUUGGUUGUGCAUCAAGGAACGAUAAUCUCAAUGAUCAUCUAGUUAUUUAGCAGAACUGUCACUUUUAUAUAUUACAGUCAACAGUCUCCACUCUGAAAAUAGCGGUAACGAGAUAAAAUACCAAACAACUAGACUUUUAGAAAAGAAAAUUUUCAAAAAGCUUAUGCAUAAGUAUUUGGCAAGUUAAUCCAAGUCUGUGAAGGUCUUAUGGGAUGCUGAGAAGAACUUGUCUAAAAUAUACAAGUAGAACUAGAAGCAUAGUGAAAACUUUACCUUGAUGACCGCAAUGGUUAUGUUGCACCCAGUUUUGUUACAGCUCCUGGUUUUUCCUUUCUAAUCAGCAAUCUGCUUUAAAGUUUUGGGGCAAGAUCUCAUCCAUGACAUAACCCAAAAUUGCCCACAAGCAUGAUUCAGGAUACAACAUGUACCCAAAUGAUAGCACCUCACGAGGAGGAUCCAAUGGUGUGCAUAAGUUGAAAUUUUAAGGAUAUCACUUCAUUUUUUUUUUUUCAGAAGCUGAAAAUGGAAACUUAAAUGGGGGGAAUGUUUCUUUUGUAAGUAAUAACUGUUAGCAAGUAAUAGGGCAUACCCUAAGGCUCCUCGAGAAGAAAACUCUCCGACAAACAUAAAAAGGCCAGACCAGAGUAGGCAGUUCAAAGAACUAGCCUCAUCCGAUACAGAGAAAAACAAUUAAUUACCAGUAACAAUCGACUCAUACAAAAAGGAAAAUUUUGUUCGGGUAAAUGGCGGCCUGCAGAAAAAAUAAAAAAAAUAGCUACACAUUAUUACAACGAUACUCUUGAAAAUAUACAUUAAUUUUCUUCAUAACCUUUACCAUUAAGCAAAACUAUUGACAUUUGAGGACCACUAGAUGCUAGAAAACACAGAAAGUUGAAAGCACAAAGAUAUGAUCACACAAAUGAGAGCAAAAGGCAACAACCAAAGACAAUAGGCUGAAGUUCUAAAACAAGUAUGCUUCAUUUUCAAGUGGUUGAUAGGAUCCGAAACAGUCAGUGCACUGACCACACAUAGCUUGUUAACUAAGCUAUUUGCAACCUCAGUCAUCCUUGCUCGCCAAUUAUCCCAAAACAACAUUUCAAGUUCACAUAACCAAAUUCAAACAACAAAAUUCCUAAAACAAAUACGCAAAAAUUUACACAAUCACCGAAACUCCAUUUCAUUAUAAAUUAUAAACCAUAACGUAUCCAACAAUUAUAAAUUCCACUCAUAACAACAGACAUAACAAAUCACAAAAACGAAAAAGUCAAUUAACCUAACAAAAAACACACAAAUCAUUUCCCCAUAUUACUAUCAUCAUUAUCGUAAUCAACAAUUUCAUUAUCCGUAACCGACAUCGAAUGCUGCACAAUCGACCUCCCGAUCGAAUUAAUCCAAUCCUCCUUCUCCUUCUCCGAAUCCGCAAUAAAAUACAUCGUAUCCUCCCUCGUCGACAACUCAAACGCGAAUUGCUUGUGCAGAACAUCCUCGGCGCCUUUGACAGUUAGACACGUGGCCACGGGGACGACGCCACGUGGCACAGAGUAACGAGUGAUGUUAGAUUCCUUAAACCAGAAAAGCUUACCUUGUUUCAAGACGAACCAACGGCGGCGCCAUGUCUUGAUGUACUCGCCUUGCUUGGUCAGCCAUCCGGUUCGUUCCGGCGUUGACCAGAACUCGAUGUUUGAGUAUUCUGAUGGGGUGGGUGAUGCGCCUGUCACGGCUCGCCAUAGACUGGCUGCUGCCAUUGAGGUUGUGUAUAUAGAGAGGGAGAGAGAGACAGCGGGAGAGAGACGGAGAGAGAGAGAGAUUGGGGUGUUUGGGAUUGGGAAAGGGGAAUGUUGUGUAGUAGGAGUGAUCCCGAUCGGUCUGAAGCAGUAAAAACAGAAGAGGGUAUAUUUGUUUAUUUAUUAAACUGCGUAAUAUACUGUGUAUCUUAACAACCAAGGAAAAAAGUGACUGUAUACGUGCUUAUUGUUUGUGUUUGAUAAUGACAAUUUAUGUCAUUUCUUAUUUAUUGAUAAUAAAAUUAAAAAUUGUGAAUUGUAAAUAAUAAAAAUCAGCUUUUAACUUAUUUUUAAGUAGGAUUAUGACAAAUUACACAAAGAAACAAUUUUCGGUUUAAAUCGAAAAUGACUUAAAACCUGAAUUUUAAACUCGGGCAAAUAGCUCUAGAUCUAGGUCUAAUGUUUUUGAAUUACUUGAAAAUCCAUCAUCACAAGAGAGUAAACAAAAUCUUGUUGGCCCCUUGUUAUACUUGACCAUCAUAACUCAUGUAGUUCUAGUGCAACGUUUCAAGCAUCAAGGUAUGGGAUACAAUUUCACACAAACCAUCAAAAUGAUAUCUAUGCAUGAGGUUUGAUUUAGAUGAAACAAAGUAAGCCUUUUGGUUACUGUAGGCAUGUGAUAUGGCUAUAUCGGGGAAAGUGGAUAAAUGACCAAAAUAAGGGUUAAAUAGCUAAUUCAUAAUUAAUCUGGCUGAAAACUUGCAACUGAAUCAUGUUGUUGAAAAAUCUUUCAAACGCAUCAUCAAGUAAUUAAAAACUUUCAAAAACAUCACUCUCCGUCAGUUCCGUUAAGUAAUUAACGGAAAGUUCAAAAAACAAAUAAAGAAAAUACAAAAAAAAAACAAAAGGAAUAUCAAAAAUUUGAAAAAAAAUGUUUUCUUGAAUUUUUUUUCAUAUUUUUUUAAAAUAUUUUUGAAUAUUUCGCUAAGUAAUUAACGGAACUGACGGAGAGUGACGCAUUUGAAAGUUUUUAAUUACUUAAUGAUGUGUUUGAAAGGUUUUUCAACAAUAUGACUCAAUUGCAAGUUUUCAGCUAGGUUAGUGUUGAAUCAGCUAUUUAACCCACCAAAAUAAAGGAGAAGAUAAGCCAUAGCAGUGCUUCAUAUUUAGGUGCUAAAAGGCACUCAUGUUGACUGUAUGCAACAUAUGUAAUCUGCACUCCAGAAAAUUAUUGCCUCAUCUUCCAACUGAGAUUGCUAAAAGCUUCAACUUUUCACUUCUCAACAUCCAAACUCAACCUCUUUUUCAUAUUGAAUUGAAGAUGAUAAAUAUCUACAUCCGUGUGGAUCGAUGAUUCCCGAUUUCUGAAGUCCAUAACAUCCGACACAGAUUCCUAAAUUCCUAAACUUCAUCCACUAUCACUCUAGGAAAAGCAAUUGCAAUUGUUUUAAGAAAUUUCACUAAUCCUAUGCUCUGGACACAUCACUAUACAUCAGACCCAAAUGUUUGAGCUUAGGGAUAUCAAGCAUUAAAAUGUAAUUUUUUAAAGCGUAGAAAAUUUGCAAAUUAAAGCUAAAUAUUGCAAAAGAAUGAUCUUGUUCUAACUUGGCCUCCAUACAAGCUCUAGUAUAUAGCUCACCUUAACUUUAACCACAUAAACCUAGUGUUGUUGGUGAGGAGACUGGAGAGGACAGCUCCUUACUAUGGUACAUGUUCUUUGAUCAAAUUAAAAGGGAGGUAAAAACAGGAGUCCUAAUUGCAGAAAUGUACCCUACUAUGAGCAAAGAAAUAUGGGAUGUGGCAAGUACUUCUUAUAAAACAAAUGUGAUAUAUGAUACACCAGAUUACUCCAUCUCACUUUACAUAAAUUUUUUGGCACACAAACCACAAUCCUGUCAACCCACUGAAGUGGUCAAUAACUCUUCCACUCUAACUGCCAGAAGAGAACUAUAACAAUCACAAGUUGUAUUAGAAACUACUAUGUAUAUUAUUAUAGAAGACAAGCACUAAAUAUUACCUUCCUAGCACACUUGCAGGGGGGGGCCCUCUUUCACUAUUAAUAUCAUCCUCUAUUUCACUUCUGUCCAUGCAUAGAGCAUUGUUAUUAACACUUACUUCUGAACUAGCGUUACUGCUUGUGGCAACAGGCGAAUCUGAAACUCCAACUAUCCUGCUUCUUGGUGCAGGGCCUGAUCUCACACUAUACACGGAAGAUGCAGGAAUAUUUGUCAUCAACGGCCUUAGAUUGCCUGGAAUACUUCGUCUUAUAUCCUGUCCAAAGAUAAACAAGACACUUUAAAACAGACACCGACAAAAAAUCAAGCCAACAGGAAACAACAAUAUCUGAGGUGUAACUUCAGAUGAUAUUUCCCAAAUAUAAACUUAACAGCCCUAGUCCAACAUGGCAACAUCAAAUUCACCAAACUAAAAACCCGGCUUCACCUAAGUCUAAAAGUAUUUAAGGAGUACUUUAAUAACAAAUUAACUUGUUUGGUUCUAAAUUUUAUGCUUUAUUGCUUAAUACAGUAUCUCGCAGAGAAAAAAAGUUGUACCAUAUGCCUCAUAGCCAUGUCCAAGGAUUUCUUAGAGAGAGAUCGUCCAAAGCCCGAGCUGUCGGGGGAUGAGGACUUUCCAGAUAAGUUACUGUGGGGGGAAUGUUUGUCAUCUUGUCUCGGUGGUGCCAGUUUCCGCAUAUUCAUCACCCUUUCAACCAUCUUCGUUCCGUACAUGACAGGGCUCACAUUAUCAUUAGCAUUAGCAUAUGCACGACUCAGUGCAGGAACGGAGCUUCUGCUGUUGACAGUUAUGCCGUUUGGAGGUCUUCCUCUUGAGGGAGAACAUGAUUGACGUCUAAUCUUUCCAUUAGGAGCAGGCUCGACUGAUGAAGAUCGAAUACUUUGUAAUCCAGGCUUACCCCUAGUAGCUGAGAUAGGUCUCUCAGAAACUGAGGUCCGUAAAUUUGGUGGUGCAUCUAGAGAAAAACCAGGCAUCUCUGAAGGUUUCCAUGGUCUCGGUUUCACUACCGGAGAACUAACACGUGGAGGCACUGGAUACCUAGAAGUAGCAGUAGCUGCCUUAGGGAACAAAGAAGGAGACUUAACCGGAGGAGAAGAUGAAUCUGAUGCUGUUGAUAAUGUGUUUGGUCUGCGAAUUGGCGUUGUUGCCCUAGAUGUUGGCUUGGAUGCAGGUAAUGAAGAGGUUUUAACCAGCAGUGUUGAAGAUCUUGCAGCUGACCUAGCUGUAGGGGUUGAAGAUCUUGCAGUAAAACUAGAUGGUGUUGAAGUUCUUGCAGUAGAACUAGGUGAAGGUAUUGAAGAUCUAGCAUUAGAAGUAGCUGUAGUUAUUGAGGAUCUUUCAGUAGACCUGGCUGUAGGUGUGGAAGAUCUUGCAGUUGAUCUGGGCGUAGGUGUUGAAGAUCUUGCGGUUGAUAUGGGUGUAGGUGUUGAAGAUCUUGCAGUAGACCUUGUUGGUGUUGAAGAUCUCGAAGGAAUUGUGGGCUUAUUUGAGGUUAAAGUGGAACGAGAGGUGGGUGUUGAAGACCUUGAAGGCUUAGAUGUAUUACCAACUGAGGGUUUAGAUGUAGCAGUCGAUGAGGGCUUAGGGGCUGAGGUCAAUACUGGCUUAGAUGCCGAGUUCAAAGUGGGGCGUCGAGUUGGUGUAGCAGACCUCGUCCCUGGAACCCCAGAUGAGGAGGGCCUCCUAGCUCCUCCAGUAGACAUAUUCAACCCAGGAGAUGAAGCAGAAUGUCUGGAUGCUAAGUUGCUUGCAGUAGACUCCAGCUGGACAUCUGCUAUCUAGAAUCAUAAUAAACAACAAACAAAAAACAAAUUCAGAAAUCCAUCCGUUACUCUAUUAGUGGAAAUUAAAAAAAUGUAGAAGUAAAAAAGGCAGCAAUACUUGCAUCAUCACAGAACUAAUUGUUAAGGAAUAGAAAUUAUUGUUCAUAAGAGCUCAUGACUUUUGUUUACCUUAGGGAUGUAUUGCAGGAACAUAAAAAUGUAGCCUUGAGUCAAGAUGUACAGCAAUAAAAUGUUAUACAAUUUUAGUGAAACACAGAAGGGAUGUUUCUACAAAGAAAAUAAAAUGCAAGCUUAUUCAAUAAUCUAUUACAACAAAGUUAUUUUCCCCACAAUUGAGUAGAGAAUUGAUGUGAUCUCAUCAACCUUAUUAAAAUAUCAAGUCACUCUGGUGCAGAAUAAAAACAGGAUGGGAGGGGCUUAUGAUGACACUAUUAUUUCUACAACCAAAUUAGAUAGCAGAGUGUGUGUGCGUGCGCGUGCGCGCGCGCGGAUAUAUACAUAUGUGUGUGUGUGCGCGGAUAUAUACAUGUGUGUGCAGGACUGCAGGUGUGCAUGUUACAAACCAAAAAUCAAGUUCUUACUUUUAGAGGAGUUCCAUAGUCUAAUACUGAAGGACUACUUAGGCCUGCAAGCACUAAGUGGAACCCUGCCACUUUAAUAUGAUUAAAAAUAGUAAUAUAAAAAUACAUUCUCCAUUUUGUUUGUAGCUGAAAAUCUAAAACUCUUCCACAUUUAACUACAAGACAAACGAGGUAGAAUUUUUUGAAAAAUGGAUUUAGCUGGAUGAUAAUUGACUCCAUCCUCUUUUGGACUUACAUCCAACAUGAUUUUAGGUGUUCUAUAGAAGAACAGAUACUCCAUGUAGAUGACAAGGAUACAACUAUUGCCUAUCUACAUAGGACUAUUUGAAUAAAUACAUAGGCCACAUGUUCUUUGGACUGACUCUUCUUCUUCUUUCUUUAUACACACACACACGUCUAUAUAUAUUUAUGUAUAUAAUUUGGACUGACUCUUCUUUGUUUUUAAAAUAUAACAAAUUUAGGAAAACAUUACAAUUGUGCUCUUACUCUAGAUUUUGAUGCAAUUGGAUGAGUUUCAGGAAUUCCAGUCUCACUCGUAAAGGUAUGUUGUGAUUCCAUCUCCAAUGAAGGGAAGAGAGGAGUUCCAGGAGGGGAUAGUAGCCUGAAGACACAAGAGAGUCUUAUUAAUUACCAUCUUGGAACUAUCCACUAUAAGAUAACAUAUUGUCUAUACGAAAUCCAUACGAUUUAUUCAAAUAAAAAAGAAAUGGUAAUUAGAUAUGCGAUCAAGCUUGAUGAAGAAGUAACAACUAGACAUAAUGGUGCCAAAGGAAGAGGCAAAAGAAAGAUAAACCAUUAGUGAAAGCUAUCCAAGUAAGCAAACUACAAAGUUCCCGAGUUAAGACUCCACUGGACGCUUAUGCUCACUAAACACUGUCACGAACAAACAUCAAAAGAAAGACACAGAGUCUGCAAAUUCUACUAGAAUUACCAUUCAUAAUCAUUCUUAUCACCCUCCGAGUUUAAAAACUCAUCAGAUGCAGUCUUCAGUGCAGGUCCUAAACUCGCUGCAAUAUCAUAUAUUGGAGAACUCCCCGUCAUUCCUGUAAAUAAGAACUUCAAUUCAACACCUCACCACCAAAAACCAAUAAAUACCGAUAAAUUCACAAACUCCAAACAUCAAUUAUCCCUCCAACAUUUUAAUAAUAAUACCCCCCACAAAAAUACAACACAAUUCACCAUCAAUAAAAAUACACUAUAUAUCACAUAAAUCCAAAAAUGAUUCACUAGCCAAUCAAGAAACAAUAAACAACACCCAUCAAAUCUCACAUCAAAAUAAACACACACCCACAUGCUAAAACCUAUAAAAUACCAAACUUUACCAAAUAAAACAAUAAAAAAAAGCCUAUAUACAUGCUAAAACCCUAUAAAGAUCUAAACUUUACCAAAAAAACAAGAAAAGCAAGAUCAUACCGAGUGAAGCAUCCAACUCGUCCGAGUUACGCAAGAAAACCGAGUCACGUUCUUUCUCAAUUUUCGUCAUCUCGAGAAACAAAGCAAGCUCAUCUUCUUUAUCAAUCAUCCUCAUUGGCAGUCCCGGAACCCUAAAACUCAUCUUUUUCAAAACCCUAAUUUUAUCCCCAAACUUGAAUUAAUUACUAAAUCCAAACCCUAAUUUUUAGAUUCGCAUCUAAAAAUUGAUAAUACACAGCCAAUUCACUCACAUUUGGAUCUGAAUUUCAGCUCAAAUCAACACAAAAAGAACCACAUUUUCAAUUUAUAUACUCACACAAUACUUGUACGUAUAAUUCGUAAAUUUCUAAAUAUAGGUUUUUUUAGUAGUUAAACAUUAAACUAACAAAAAACAUAAAGUUUAGAAAGUUUUGAAAAUACAAAAUACGUAUAUAUGGAUAUUGUUUAAGAAUUAAAUAAGAGUAUUAUUUCAUGAAUAAUAAAUUAAAUAAAAAUAAAUUUUAGAAAUUUAAAAAUGGAGGGAGAGGAGAGGAGAGAGUGGCAUUUUGAGUGAUAAUAAGAGUAGAAAUUGGGGACUCAAUUGAAAUAUAUAAUAAAAGAUUUUAGUUUGGAAUUUACGUUUGUGAUAAAUAUAGAGAGAGAGAGAGGAGAGAGAGGGGAGGUGGGUGAGGGGUGAAUAUAAUAAUGCAACAAACAGCUUUUUUGAAGUUUUUCUCACUUGAAAGUUACGUUAUCUUGUUGCCAAGGGAGAGAGAUACACAUACAUGUGUAUGUCUAUACUAUAGUAUUGUUUUCUUUCGUUUUCUGUUUGCUGAUUUUGUAAUUUACAUUUGGGCUGUCUCUUUUGUCUGCAUAAUCGCCAGAAACGUAGUUCAGAUAAACUAGUAUAGCAGAGUUUUGGGAAUUUUUGAUUUGUUUUCUGAUUAAUCUUCAUUAUUGAUAUAUGAUUACAGAGUUAGGUGUUAUGAAGCAUGUUUUUAAACCGGAGUGUUGAAGCACCAAUCAUAAUUUAAUCAAUAAUAAUAUUUUUAAUUAUUCAAAUUUAUAUAAUUUAUUAUUUAUAAGUAACCUAAAACAUAUUAUCAAUUAAGAGCAAGUCCAAUAUGUUAACUAUCCUAUUACUUAUAAAUAAUAUAAAAUAAUGAGUGCUAGUAUUUCUUAGUGAUUUAGGUAAUCUAUUUUUUGUGUCAACUUCAAUAGUAAUCCCUAUAUUUGUUCGCCUAAAAUUAUUUUAAUAAUAAAUUUGAGAGAGGGGAAAAGAAGAGAAUAGACAAAGAAAGAAGAAGAGAAAUGAUUAUUUUAUUCAUAAAUAUUAAAUAGUUAAUGGCUAGGGGUUACUUAUAAAUAGGUAAUGGCUAGGGGUUACUUAUAAAUAAAUAGGUAAUGGCUAGGAGAAUUAAGGUUGUGCUAGUGAUUUAAGAUAACACUAGGAGUGCAUUUAUUUUUUGACACAUAACCUAAAUGUGAGUUUAGGACAUCACUUAUUGGACUUGCUCUAACCAUUAACAUAAAUUUUUGUGGACUCCAUAGAACUUGACCGCUAAUUACAUUUUGAAUUGAUUAAAAACUCAUGAUUUGUCAAAUUAUUCUCGAUAAACUCUAACAAAAGUCAAUCCAUUAGUUUCGAUUAUGGCUGUAAUUCAAGUCGAGUUUCGAGCCGAGCCUAAUUCGAGCCAAGUUUAAUCGAAUCGAGCCGAGCUGGCUUGAUUAACUAAUCGAGUUUAAACCGAACUCGAUUCGUUUAGUUUCACGAGUCAAGUCGAACUAGCUCAUUUGGCUAAACGAGCCGAUUUUAACGAGUCGAGCGAGCCAGCUCGUAUAAUUUUACACUUAAUCUGCCUAAAACUCUACCUGGACUCGGCUCGUUUAAUUUCACGGGUCGAGUCGAACCGGCUCGUUUAAUUAAACGAGCCGGAACCUCUGCCCGAAUCCGGCUCGUUUAACGAGUCGAGUCGAGCCGAACCCAAUUAAACGAGUUCGAGCUGGCCAGCUCGCGAGCUCCCGACUCGAAUUACAGCUCUAGUUUCGAUUUCUGAUUUUUACUAGCACGACCACCAGAAUAUAUUACUAAUACCAACGUUACCUUGACGGCUUUGUUAAAUUGUUAACCUUCCAAACAGACCCCACCACACCAAGAACAAGGAUGACAUAAAGGGCUGAAUUUACCAUGGAAAAGAAAAUGCUUUAUAUCAACAGCUAACAUUUGCCAUGAAUUAAUAAUCUACAAGGGCCCUUGACCAAUAAUUCUUGGUUGUUGCUCACUCCAGAAUGCAGCAUUACAUGUCAUAUAUGCAUAGGUGCUAAACUAACGUCCACCAUUAACUUCAUGUUGACCAGAUUUUUCAUUCCCACUUGGGUUCAGAAUGUGAAGAUCAUGUUCUUCACAUGAUAUUACUUUUAAGUUGUUGUGUAAUGUAUCCCAGCUACUAUAAAGCGAUGAAUUGAGUGCCCACUUGACCUACAUCAUCCAAAGGGCAUCUUCAGACAGCUAUGCAAAUCUUUAAGGUAGUUAAAUCUAAGAGGAAUUUAGCCUCACAAAUAAAUUACCAAUGCUGACCUGAAAGUUUAAUCUGCGAAAUUUUAAAAAAAAAACGAUGAUAAUUUAUCAUAUGCAGCUCAGUGCCACAUUAUCACAGGGACAACAUUUGGUAAAUGUUCCGUCGCCUCUAGCAUUUUCCUAAAAAAGAUCAAACUUAAAAUGGUAAAAUAACUGGAAAGCAGGGGGAUUUAGAUUAUUAAUUCUUACGAGGAUAAUCAAUAUUUCAUAUUACAUGGAUAGUCUGAACAGAUCAGAGGAGUUCCAGUCUUCUAGAUGAAUAUAAACAAUGAAGACUUGGAACAAUGUUGAUGAAAUUGCACAAAUGUCGGAAAAGAACUGAUUGUUUCGGUAUUUUAGAUAACUAUGAACAACGAAGACUUGUAACAAUGGGAAAACAACAGAAAUCCCCAAUUUUUGAAAUCACCUUGUUGAGUAACAAUGAGGGGAGUAAAGAAUGUACAGAUUGAAAUUAGAGGUCAUUUUAAACAUCAUCAGCGUCACUUCCACUGACAUGAGCUUCAUGAUUCACCCAAUAAUUAGUUCCGUCAGGGCCAGAAAUCUUAAACCUGAGGCAUCAAACCCCCAUGUCAUAAAUCAGUGUAAGUAGACAGAGAACAAGCCAGAUGAACUAUAUUUAAGUAAUUCAAACUAAUUAUUUCACACCUUUCCAGGACCGAUUUUCCUUCCUUGUACUUUUGGCUUUUUUCCUUCGCAGUCUCCUGCAAGAAAUUUGCAUUUAUUUUAAGAAAAAAAAUGUCAGAGAAAGAAACUGCAUCAAAUCAAGCUAUGUAUAUCAAAGUGGAAGCAAAUAUAUGUCAUCUCCUGCAAGUUGAAUUUUCAUCUUACAUAUGUCCAACCGACAAUUGACCCACAUUUCACACAGAAGAUGUCAGCAACAGUAUGCAAUCCAGUCAUCAUCAUCCGUUCUUCCUUCGGCCCAAGAGUGACGUUCACUCUGCUCAGAUACAGGCGGGGAUUUAUAUCAUAUAGAAAAGCUCACAAUUGAGAUAUAAUACGUUGACAAAGGAUUAAGGUGUAUACAAGAGACAUGGUCAAUUCUAAAAGAGGAAACUUUAAGAAGAGAAUCGCUUAAUAUGCAACAAAAUUUAUUUGCGGAAACACAUUUUUUAGCAAGAAGAUGGUGAAUCUUACAACUCACUAAAAUAGGAUUCAAAAUUGAAGUUGUAAGCUAUUCAUUAGGUCAAAUAAACAACUGCAGACAUAAUAUUCCUUCAAUCCAAAUGCUUGUACUAAUUAGGUUUAACAAGACAGUAAGUGAACCGAAUGUACUGCCGCUCAUUCCCUGCCAUGUUUCAUAGCAUAUACCGUAAGUAGCAAGGAAAUGCUACAUUCCUCUAAAACACUUAACCCCCCCAGUGAUAAACUCAUUCUUUGAAUGCAUAAUGAAUCAAGUGAAAAGAACCUCUUAAACUCAGACAGUUCUACCUGCAUACAUUUUCUUUGAUUGUAACCAAAACUCUAGAUACCACCAGCCUAAAUGGUAGAUCAUUUGACUGGUAAGAAAACUCUGGAAGAUAUAAUCAAUAUGUACUUCAGAUGUCCCAUCACACUUUCUAUAUCCUCUACUGUAAAAUAAUCUUAGUUUGCUUCAGUGAUAAGCAAGAAAGACAAAACUUCCUCCUAUUUUCUGUCCAAGUCAGCUGGAGCAUUGCUUUUAACUUCCGACGAAGAAGAAAAAUGACAGAUUAACAGGCUUUGUGGGUCGCGAGAAUUUUAAGAAAAACCAACAAACUCUUUUUAAUCUUUAAUGAUGCCUCCAUGAUCCACAAACAAGAAGAUGAAAGUAUUACAUUUCAUUAGUAACUUAAUGGAGAAAACAAUAUCUUAUUGAUACUAUCUUUAUAGACAGUUUCAAGUUAAGUUCAGGUUUUUCUUUUCGAUUGCUUACCUGCAAAAGAUAUAUAAGCACCUCAAAAAAAAAAAAAGGAAAGUGGAACAAUCGUCGAGUGCUACUGAGUUCACAUUUUGAAAUGAAAAUGAAUAGCAUCAUAUUGUAGGAGCUUGCUAAAAAGCGCUUAAAAAACCAGAAAUGUAUCAAGGUGUAAGUGAAGCCCGGUAUCUAGAAAAACUUACACCCUGCUGAAGAGAUAAGCUUUACCAUGCCUGCAGUGAAAUGACUGGAUAAAAAAGCAGAAGGAAAGACAAUCAGCAUAUUACUUCUUUGCAAUCAGAAUGUUGGACACUAGAAAGGUACAAACAGAAAACAACCUAGGGCUAUCAUAAAAUUCUGUGCACAUAAUAGAGUGCAAACUUAUUAACUUGCAGAAUACCACCAGUAAGUGGAAAUAUUUGGUCUUUGAUAGGGUCUGCCAUCAAUUUUCAAUCAAACUUAGCAAUGUUCAAAUUGCGUAUAUAGACUUCAUAUUCCUCUUUUACAACUUAUGCAAAAGCACGUGCAACCCUUUCAUAGUAACUACUGUCAUCAAUUUCAGCAAUUAAAGAUCACUUGCCAAACACAAAAAAGUUCGAAAAAUUGAUAUUGGAAGGGCAAAAAAUUCUACUCAAUUUACAUUCUAGAAAAUUCUUGAAACAGAAGAUGCGACUGUAGUAAAUUAUAGUUUGAACGAGAUUGUGAGAAUAGAGAAUGCCUAGAUCAACCAACAUGUGAAGCCAAAAUUUAGGAUCCGCAUCAUUUUCAAACUUUACGUUGUGGACUCAUUAAAGAAUUCUUAAAUCUUUUUGGGUUUGUCUAGUGUGUGCCCAUGGGCACAUGCUAAGCACUAAAUUUCAUGAGUUUGGAGGGUUUUGAUUGGUGUGGUGGUUGCAAAUGCAGGGGGGGUCUACCAUUAUUAAAGAGGGUAAGCCAAUCAAAACCCUCUAAAUUUAUAAGUUUUAGUGCUUAGCAUGUGCCCAUGGGCACACACUAGAAAAACCGAAUCUUUUUAACCUAUAAAACAGAAUCUUCUAUCUGCUUUUGAAACGAAUCUGUAUUCAUGCAAACAUGUCGAAGGUAAAAAUAAGCAGCUAGACCCCGAAACCACAUUGAAAAACAACCAAUAGGUUUUCACCUUCCCGAAUAUUACCCAUAAAGCGUAUCUAAUCAUCAAACUUGCAACAAAAAUUAAAUUACACAAACAACCAUGGACUUUUUAGUGAUCCAAGUCCAACAAGGAAAUGACAUUAUUGCGCUUACCACUUUCGCAAACCAAGUUCCACAUUCAGAAUGAAAUUUGUGAUCUGAUACAGUUCUCAUUAUAGCUCAAAAUGUAGUUAAGCCUUUUCAACUGACUAACAACACAAUCUUGUUGCUAUUAUAGAUAACCAUGUUAAUGUAUCCAAUCAGUCAAACCACACUAAAAAUUCUAAUAGCCAAUCAUAAUCACAAAAAUCAUCAGACUAGACAAAACAACAAAAUCAAAACCCCACAUACUAAAAACAUAAUAAUUGAAUUAAUUACCACAAAGAUCAAUCAAACCAACAAAAACCCACAAAAAAUGAUCAAGAAUGAAAUAAAAAAAAAAAAAGGCACCUUUGAAACUAUGCUGUCACAUAGAGCAAGAUGAGUAUGGCAGUGCUUGCAACUAUAGAUCUUUCCUUCAAGAUUCACCAAAAACAAUCUCCCCAUCUCUCUCCCUAUCUCUCUCUAUCUCUCCCUUUAGGACUAUAUCUCACCUACUUUCCUUCAACUGCAGACUAGCUAAGAAGAAGCCAAUGAAUAUAUGACUGUGUAAUAAACAAUAUUAUAAAUUCUUGUCUACAGCAAAUAGAAAAAAUGGUUAAAAAAAGGAAUUAAUAAACUAAAGAGGUGGAUGGAUAAAGAUUGAUUGGAAGGAACGUGAAGCAAAGGAUAAAUAAUGGUGAGAAGAAAAGGAGAAAUGCAAAGACACAAACACAAGAGAUAAAGAGAGAGACCGUGGGAAUGUAUGUGAUUAUAGUAAAACAUAGGAUUACUGUAUGGGUAUGUAAAAAGUAAAAUAUUGUAAAAUGUGUAAGUAUAGACUACAGAGAGAUAAAUGUUUGAAGUGAAAUGGUGACCGACUACUAUCAGAAAAUUGACCGCUCACAGUAAAUCUGGUAAUUCUGUUAAUUUCCCACUCUCCUUUACUCUUUACCGUGUGUGUGGAAUUCUUUUUCAAUCUCGUCAUGCAACGAUGGUCUUCUCCUUACACAUAUCUCGUCAAUAUUUAUUUAUCUUUUUUAUUUAUUAUAAAAUGAUAAAUAUAUAAAUCAUAAAUUUAUAUUGACACGGAUGUUAUAAACAUACUCAAAACUUUAAACUUGAUUGCUCUCAUGAGUAAAUAAUGCUUUCUCCAAUUUAGUUGUAUGUUCGAUCAAUAAGGGGGUGUUUGGUCCUGCAAUUUAGCUGUAUGUUCGGCCAAUAAUAAUAAUAUAAAAAAGGUAUUUGGUCGAAUUUAAAAUCACAGUCUCUAGAUUUACAAGCUUGUUAAAACUAUCCAAUAUAUGUUUCACGAGAAAAAUUAUAUGAAGUUCAUAUUUAUAAUGAUAUUUUGGAGUAUCAUUCUCGAAAUGAGGAUAUUAUUUAUGAUUAAAUUCAAAAUUUACGAUCAUCCUCCGAAACUUCAACUUGAAUGUGCAUUCGAUAUGAACCCAUUCUUGCGAAGUGUAUUCAACUCUUGCGAAGUGCAUUAGAGCAUCUCCAAGUUGGCAUACUUAAAAUAAAAAAAAAUUAACCAACAGCUCGAAAAACUCAACUCCAACCAUCCUCGGCUGUUGUCUAUAAAUUUAGCCAACCUCCUAUGAAUGGCUAAAUUUGUCGAACCUCUACAGAUCUGUAAGGACAUCUGUAAUAAGAUUGCACAUCAUUUAUUACCAUAUCGAACUGAUAUAUUCUAUUUUAAUAAUCUAAAAUAUUAAUAACAUAUUAUUUUUAAAUUAUCGAACUGAUAUAUUCUAUUUUAAUAAUCUAAAAUAUUAAUAACAUAUUAUUUUUAAAUUAUAGCCAACCAAUAUAGCCAAUAUCAUUGAAGCAAAAUGCCUUACAGGUUCAUCAAAUUUUACAUAAUGUCUUACAGAUCUCAUUUAGCCAAUAAUUAUAGCCAACGCCGUUGGAGAUGCUCUUACACCAGGAAAGAAUGUCUUAUCUUAUUCUUCAUUAAUAAAUUUUUACUUUUUAAAAAAUUAAUGUAUACUCCCUCCGUCCCCCUCAAUCAAUAUACUUAUAUAAAGGAGGAGCGAGGGGCGUGUAGGUGGCGCCUCUCACAUCGCUCCGUUCUAUUUUUCUAAUUUUCUGGAAUUUGUGGAAGAAAAAUAUCAAAAAAUAGAACUACCUUUUUUAGUUUUGGAUAUAUUAGAAGCAAGUUUCAGAAUCUGAUUUUGUUUUAGAUUAUUUAUGGAAUAUAGCAGCUUGAAAAUUUUAAUCUGAUUUUGUUUCAGAUUAUUUAAUCAUGGGAAAGAGUAGCACACAAGUCUUUCUGCACUUAUAAAUACAAGGUUUUGGAUCAUCUAAACACAACCUAAUCUCUCUCAAUACCACAACUCUACCUCUCUCUCGUGAUAGUUCUCUUGCUCGAUUUCUGAUCUUGCUCGAUUUCUGACUCGGUGGUACUUUUCUUCUGCAACGAUAAGUGAAGGUUGUUUAUACGGUAUUUAAAAAAAAUAAAGGUUGUUUCAAGCAAAAGUAGUUAUAGACCGCUAUGUGGGAGUCGACAAAUCCAAACACGGGAGAAGAAUAUAGUCUUGACAUGAUUUUGAUGGAUGAUAUCAAUAAAUUAACUAUUAGUGAUGUAUGUUUGUUGGUUAUUCUUUUAUAAUAUCUGUUUUGUUCAUCGGACAUGUUUGUUGUUGUUAAUUUACAUGAUUUAAUUUGUUUACAACAAAAUAUUAUUCAUGUAUUAUCUGUUUACUCCGUUCAAGCAACUUUUAAGUGAAUGCUGUUUAUACAGUAUUACAAAAUAAAGGUUGUUACAAGGGUAGUAUAGACCGCUAUGGCGCUAUCUCACGGAUUUAAGUUAGAUGUUUUUGUGCACAAUCAAUCAAAAAAAUUGGAGGAAAGUGACAAUGUAAGAACAUGAUUACUUUUAAAAAAACACAAAUAAAAUUAAGAUUCGUCGUGCUUUAAAUUGUUAAUUACGUGUAGAAAUUUAUUUUCAUUUUUUCACCAUAAAUUAUAGUCCAAUUUUACAAUUUUAUAUAUUAGUAUUGGUAUUUCAUCAAGAUUUUUAUAAUAUAAAAUUUAUUUUAUCCUACAAAUAUUAAUAUUUAAUCAUUAAUAUACUUUUUAUGGACAGCCACAAAAUUAUUGCAUUAUACAAAUAUUAAUAUUGAAUUAUUAAUAUAAGUGUUAUAAGCCGCCGCAACGCGCGGUUUCUCAACUAGUUGUUUAUAUUGGGGGAUGUGGAUAUGGCACACAUUCUAAUAUUCUCAUAAUAUAUAGUUUGAUAAAUUAUUUUGAAUUUUUUUUCUUUUGAAAUAAAUAUUUACUAUCGAAACUUUUAUAUAAAAUAGAAAAAUUUCAGAAAAAAAAUUAUAAAACUAUAGUUUAUAUGCGUCUUAAAAUGCGUGUUAAAUGAGAGGGACAAAGGGAGUAAUAUUUUCUAAAAAUAAAUAUUUAUUACUUUUUUAACAUUUGUUUUUUAAAAAUAUAAAUAAGUCUUUAUUAUGAGCAGCUCAUUUUUAUUUAACAGCACAUAAUUAUGUUUUGCGUAGGUUCAAAUUAAGUUGAUCUAACUAAUACAUGAAUAAUAUUUAUUGUAAUCAGCUGGAAUUAAAUUAUUUAGAAUCUGAGUUUUUUUAUUCGGAUAGAGAUAGUCUAAUUCCAUCGUGCAGAUAAAUAGUUAAGAUCGAUUCAAAUGGCAAAACUACCGGGCCAGACGAUGUAUGCAUUUGUACAAGAUAUAAUCGCAAGUUUUCAUGAAAAUAUGUUCAAAUGGGAUCGCAUUCUUACUGGGCUUUCUAACUCUUUAGCGUCCACCUCCAGACUCGAUAGAUCCACCAUCCAAGUUCAGACUUAAAAAACUUACUGCAUUUUAAGUCUUUCAUAUUAUAGUUAAAGCCCAUUAGUUUAGCGCUUAAAACCAUACCUCCCUGUGUCCGUUUUAGGUUAAUUUUUGCACAUUGUAUUUUUUUAGGCUUAUAUAAAUUAUAAUUUCAUAAUAAUUUUUUUAAAAAUAAAUAUUUGAAUAAAACUCUGGAGUUUAAUUUUUUAUUUUAAAAAAUUAGAAAAACGUUAUGUAACUAUAUUUUAUAUGAAUUUCAAAAUACGUGCAAAUAUUGAACGAAACCACCUGUUAUGCAAACUAGGGUUAUAAGAGCAACUCCAAUGCACCUAUUCCUUACCUAUAUUUGAUCUACAUGGACAAGAUUUGAGGGUUAAGAACAAAAAAAGCUCCUCCAAGCUCCAACGCAACUCCCUAUCCCCUAUUAAUUUUAGGUGAGAAAAAGUUCAACCCCUUAUUCGAGGGAUGAAAAAGCAACCCCUAUAUGCUCCAGGUCAUCACCAGCUCAUAUCUCCUCUUAUUUUUCUGUUAUUUAUUAGUGCAAUCUUUCUCUCUACUUGAGUUGUAUAUAUAGAUUUAAAAUAUAGGGAAUGGAACACCGUUGAAGCAAAAUAGCUUUUUGAUCCCCAAUAUUUUAGGUAACCAUUAAUGUAUAUAAUAUUUUAGGGGUUGAAAAUAGGGAAUAAUAUAAUAAAAAUUCGCAUUUCAAAGAACAAAAUUUUUAAUUAUAAAUACUAACACCUGAAUAUGAGAUUAUGAUUCUCAUUAACAGUAUCAUCAUCAAACACACCAUAAUCAAACACACCAUAAUCUUAAACUAAAAUUUUGGAAGACGAUCAUUAUGUUCUAGUACAAUCUUCUAUAUCUAUAUAAGAAAGGGAGACAAAAAGGGCAUCUACUUUAGAAAAGAUGAAUGAUAAAUUGGUAGAAUACAUGUUAGAGCAAGUCCAAUGGUGAGCUAAAAAUAGGUGUAGCUAUUGCUAUAAUAUAGCACCAAAAAGUGGUUUUUGGUGCUAAAAUAAUAUCACAUCUCCAAUGGUUGGUGCUAUAUCUUGUGCCAAAUUUCACCAACUCUCCAAUGUACUUGAAUAGGUUGAGAUAUAAAUCUAUUUUUUAUUCAUUUCCCUCCACUUUUUUACUUUUUGAUGAAGUGGCAAUUAUAGCUAUUGCUAUAGUUUGUGCUAAAUAUAGCACCAACUAUAGCAAUAUGCUAUUUUAGCACCAAGUUUAGCACACUAUUGGAGUUGAAAUUUUUUGAUUUUGAGCUAUAAUAUAGAUAUAGCACAAGAUAUAGCUCACCAUUGAACUUGCUCUUAUGCAUGUACUGUAAAGUUUAACGUAGCAGAUAACGAAUUAUAAUUUCAUGCGGUGAGUGUCGGAACUUUGUCGCCGGAAAGCAACUUAGUGGUGGUCACGUGGUCGCGUUUGAUAUGACAUGUCAUAUGUGUGUAUUAGAUAGCCUUGCACUACAAUUUUAAGUGCACGGCAAUAUGGCAUCAUCUCUCUCAGAAAGCAAAGAAAUAACAACUUAAAUAGUUAAAUUUAUUGUCUUUACAAUUACUAUAUAUCUUGAAACUAUACUAACCAAAGAAACUGCGUUUUUUGUAUCAUAAACAUUAAACAGCGUACUUAGAAAAUCUAUCACCUUUGAUUCAUGGGUACAUACUUUUGCUCAUCUUCGUAAUGGUUGGUCGUCCACAUCAUAUAGUUCAAGUUCCCUCGAUAGUUAAAUAUGUAACAUUAAUUAUGUUAGUAUUUUCCAAAAAUAAUACUCUCUCAUCUUUUAUGAGGUUUGAUCAUAUAUCUUGAAUUAAUAUUUUUGAAUAUUUUUAUUAAAUAAAUAUAUUAAUAUUAUAGUUUAUUUGAAAAAAUUUAUAAAAAUAUUAAUUUUUAUUACGUGGUCCAAGCAUUUAUAGUUAUGUGUAUAUAGUCAAAUAAUAUAUAAAUAAAAUCAGCGAGUACAAUUUUUUGAUGACUAAAAACUUCUUUACUAAAUUUUUGAACGUGAACAAAAUGAAUGACACGAAUGAAGAAGUAAGGGGCCGUUUGGGUUAGUUUAAAAGGAGUGAUUUCUUGCUUAUAGUAAAGAAGUGGAGUAGAAAUGAGAAGUAAAAAAAUUAAUAAAGUGUUUGGAAAAGAAGCAGAAGUUGUGAGAUAGAAGCUAGCAUUUUCAGCUUCUUAAAAGUGCUUCUAUUUCUUUACACAAACGGGUCAAGAGAAGCAGAAGCCAGAAGCAGCUUCUGCUUCUACGAACCAAACAAGCCCUAAGUCUCUUGUGGAUUGGGAUUGAUCCUAUUAAUCGAUACUCGUAUUAACUAAAAAACCCAAUCAACUUGUCAAAUUUUUGCUAAAAAACUUUGAACUUUUGUUUUUCUUAACAACUCCAGAAAACUUUACUAAAAAUAUGAAAAUAAAUACAAAAUAAACUAUGGUUAAAUCUACCAAUGUGACUUGUCAGGUAUCUUUCCCUUAUUUGUAUCUUUUUAUACACGUGUGUGCCACACAUUGCGCCUAGUCAUUAAUAGGAAUAAUUUAUAAUAUGAUAGUUGUUGGUUUAGAUUUAAAAAAUAAAAUGAAAACAAGUGAAGAAUGUGUGAUACUGGCAGAUUAUUGUAAAGGCUGAGGUUGAUGUUCGAAAUAUAUUAAUGAAGUUAUCAUUUUGACGUAAUCAGAGGGUGUGUUAAAAGAUUAGCAGAUGACGAUGUUAUUUUUGACUCCAUUCAAUACAAAAUUAAGGAGAUGGAACAAUUUUUUAUGUUUUCCUGAGUUCACAGGUUUGGUUGAGGUGUCUCCCGCGACUGAUUUUUAUAGAGUUUUAGGGGGUGUUUGUUUGGAGUUGCUCAGGACUGCUGAUUGGACAGAGUAUAUGAUUGAGUAAUUUGUUUGUAUUUUGGUGGAUUUUCUUGUGCUAAAUGGAUAAAAUAUGUCUUACUCAAUUCAGAGUUCCCAUUCUGCUGCCUGAUGUACUGCACCUGAAACUUGGUUAAUUGUUUAUGUUCGAGUAACUAAAUAAAGAUUUCACACAUUAAUAUACACCAUAAGAUACAUUUUUUCUACAUAGAAAAUCAACCAAGUAGAAACGAGGUGGAUGAAAUAACUGGCACGAGCCUUCAGUCGCAAUAACUAUAUAUGACGGCAGAGCAAUUCUCAGUCUGUUCAUUGUUUGAAUGAGACCCUGGUACUUUCCUGUCGUAAUGAGCCGAUCAACUAUCUUAAAGCUGGUUUUAGAGGUGUUGAUAUAUUUUUCAGUUAUUUUUUUUAUUAAUUAUAAUCAAUUUGUCACAUAGGAUAUGUGAUGAUCAUGUUCAGUCUACAUCAGUUAUAAGUAACUCUAGUCUCUAGUUAAAUGUUUUUUUAAAGAUUUAGUAAAAUUUAUUGGGGUUAUUGGUGAAAAAAAAGUUUAUAAGUGUUUUGGCAAAAAAAAUAACAAUUUAAUUAGUUUUUUGAUUAAUAGCUCCCAAUACUCCAACAAGAACAUACGUAAGAGAUCAAACCUCGUGGUGGGUGAGGAUUUUGAAGUGCUGGGAAUUGAAACAAUUUUCCCUCAAAACUCCUGAAGCAUAUGGGAAUUAAAGCUAGGAUGAUAAUCAAAUAAACUAAACCAAUCCGACCUAUUUUUGACAGACUAACUCGAUGUAAAAUAUCUAAUAUUUUGUUUAAGAACUUCUCAUGUUCGGCACCUGUUUUAUGCUUUCGGCAAACUCAAGUAUUUUGUAUUUUUAAGUCUCUCAAACCAAUUCAUUUACGUUAAAAAAAUUCAUAUAUUUCAGGCAUGUAAAUAAAAUAUUAAUUUUGUGAAACUAGAUAUGUAAUAAUUUUUAAUUGUAUUUAUAAUAAAAGAAAAAUUAAAAAAUAAGUUAAUUUAGUUCCGGAUAAAAUGAUCAUCAUCGCUGACCCAAGAACAAAAGCAAAAAAGACUCUUCUAAGAAUCGAAGUCACGGAAGAAAAAUGUAAUAUCGCGUAUGUCAAGAAUAUGAACUUUUCUGUAAACGUAUUUAUCCGAUCUAACGUGACUCUGAGAAGUUUAUGUUUGGCACCUGUGGUUAAACGAGGGCAGAGAAAUUAAAGAUACUAUGGAGGAAUAAGAGCAAGUUGGCAAUCGAAGCAGACAAAAAGUAUAUAGGUCCAUUUGUUCGAUUACUCGUCAAACUAUACCUCUGCCGAAACCGACUGCAAUUUACUUGAUUAUCCAAAUUUGUAUACGCCUAAUCCUUUGUACACGAAAGAGAUAGCAUCCUUGUUUUAGACUUUAGCGAAUUUUCUUUGACUAGGGAUCCUCUUGCUCCUAAAUUUUCCAUAUCUCUCUCGAAAUUGUUGUGGUCCGGAAAAUGUAACCCUUUCCGGUCAAAUAAUCAUUUUUUUUAAUUUUAAAUUUGAAAGGACGUCGAGAAUGUCUAGAAUAUGAGAGAGGAAGUGUUUGUAAGAUCUUUUGUUGAUUACCUAAAAUUAUUUGAAAUUUCUUAAACACAAACAAUAACUAAUAUAUAUUAAUUUGACACUAUUUUUGGAUCAAUAUGUGAUGAAUUAUUGGUUCCACUAUAAAAAAUCUAGUUUUGAAGCUGGAAUGUUAUAAAUAUAUAAUCAAAAUUGAAUUAGUAAGAAUUUUUAUUAAAAAUAAUAAUUUUCACUAUGUGACGACCCACCCAUCAAAUAAUAUAAUAUGAAUGUCAUAUAAUAAAUAAUAACAAAAUUAUGAAUAAAAUGUCUCCUCCAAACCUGUUGUUGGAGAUGUUACCCUCUGAAUUUUCAAGUUAAUGAGAAUUUCUACGUUCAAAAUAAAAAAAUUAUACUAAUUCCGUCCCCCUCAUUGGGGCUCGGCACGCAAUCUAAUGCUCUCGUAAAACGUAGUUCGAUUUAUUAUUCUGGACCAUUUUUCCUUUGAAUAAAAAUUUGAUGUUUAAAUUUUUAUACAAAAAAGAAAAAUUUUAAAAAUAAGUUACAGAACUAUGUUUUGUAUGCAUCUUAAAAUGCGUGUCGAACAGUGUGAAAAAACUGUAAAGAAAUGAGAGGGACACGGGAAGUAAAAAUGAUGCACCCCACUAUUUGUAUAAUUUUGAAAAGGGUUAAUUAUCAAACUCAAAGUGGACAAAUGGUAUCAACUUCAUCACUGAUCUCCACGGAGUCUCAAUUGGCUCAUUAAACUCGCUUAAUGGUAUCAAACUCAUCACUUCCGUUAAAAAAAGUAACCGAAGUUUAGACGUAAUAACAGAUUGGCCGCAGAGUUUGACAUAUGGCAUGCCAAAUAAUUUGAAGUUUAUAUAAAAUAAAUUAUGCAAUCUUUUUAUUGAAUUAAUUUUAGGAUAUAAUUAUCUAAAUAAAUGCAUUGAACUAAAUUUUAAGAUAUAAUCAACUAAACAUCCAAAAUUUUAACAUAUGAAGCAGCAUACAUUGUUCAAAUCUUCAAAAACAACACAUAAUGUUUAUACAACAUACCUUUUAUUUUCCUUCAUUUGUUUUUCUUCAGUCUUUUUUAUUAAUGUGCCACGUCAACCACCAAUCUGUCAUUCCGUCUAAAUUUUUGCUAUUUUUUUUAGCGACAAUGAUGAGUUUGAUACCAUUAUACGAGUUUAAUGAGCCAGUUGAGAUCCCGUAAAGAUCAGUGAUGGAAUUGAUACCAUUUGUACACUUCAGAGAUGAGUUUGAUAAUUAACCAUUUUGAAAAUAAUUUCAUACUAUGUGAACCAAGUUGAUAGUUUAUCUCUAGAGAUGCUUCUCGAAAUGAAAACCAAAUUUACAAAACCGAGAAAAGCGUAGCAUGUUCGUAGGAUAUGUAGAGCAUGGAGAAGCCUAUAUAUGCCGAGGCAGAGAUCACACGUGGGCACCUGACACCACCCAUUCGUGCGUAGCAGUAAAUGUGAAUGACAUUGAAAGCUGGCGUAAAUUUCCAAGUGCGUGUGGGAGUACUUUCUUUGUAUCUGCAUGUUCAUUGUUCAGGCCUCUGCUCUGAGAUCAGUGCCUGUGUUCUCCGGACUUUGACUCUUCACAUCACUUCAACAUUACAAGAUUCUGUUGAGCUACUUAGGCUUUUAGAUAAAUUCAUGAUAGGAGUAUUUAUUUGUUCGAAGUUAUAGUCAAAGUGAGAGAUACCUAAUCAAUUAAGCUGGUGAUUAAUCGUGAUUAAUUUGUAUCUCAUGACUUAUCAAAAUAUCAGAUCUUUGAUUAAUCUCUAAUUAAUUCAAUUAAUCUUUGAUUAAAUUUUGUUUCGUACUCACCGAUUAUAUUAUGUAUAUACAGUAAAUCUUUUUUUUUUGACAGGAGUAUAUACAGUAAAUCAAUCUCUUAAGUUUGUAUUUGUAUGCUCAUUUGUCCUCGGUCUAAAGAUAAAUUAUAUUAUGUAUAUCAAAGAUCUUGAUUAUUAGUAUUUUAUUGGACUUUAAUAUUUAAUAGAUAUUUUUAUAAAGUUUUAGAAUAUUAAUUACUGAUGGAUGAUAACUAUAUUCAAUUCAUCUUAUUUAUGUGUAUAUGUAAUUGUUUUUUAAAAUACUUUCAAUUGAAAAGGCAUAUACUCUCACUUAACCACUUAAUUUGCGAGAAGCUCAAAGGACCAUACAUAUACAUAUUUUGUUUACUUAUCUCAAUUUUUGUAAAAAUAAGUUACUUGAAUCUAAAUAAAUAAAUAUAUAUAUAUAUAACAAAUUUAUUUAUAUAGCUAAAAAUAAUUAAACAUUUAUUAGAAUAAAUAUAUAAUUUUAAAAAUAUUAUGUAUAUAUAAAUUGUUCAUCAAAAUAAGUGAGAAAAUUUCAGCCAAGCAAUUACUCCCCGGGACGACGGAGAAAUUAUUGACCUGGGAUAUGCUCACUGACUAUGACAACGCAAUUCUCAUUCUAAGAGCGAGGGCUGCUAUUAACAGAAUUGAUUAUUUAUUUGAUAAGAAAUGAUACAAAGGACUCGAAUUUUACUUGAUUAAUAUUGUAUUAAAUUAGAUAUAUUGUCUGCUCAAAUAAUAUAAAGGUGUUCCAAAAAUAUUAAUAACGAUUAUCAAACAAAAUGAAUUCAAUUAUCAUGGUAAACUAUAUCAAAACUAUACUUGGAUUUAGUCGAUUUAAUAAAAAUUCUAGCAUUUAUAUCCUAAUAAUUUUCUAAACAUAUUUCGAAUAAAGCAAAAUUAUAGUUUGCAACUAUGCAGAUACUUGAAGUUGAAGGAGAGUAAGUUGUUCUAUCUAAAAGAACUUAACAUGGUAGAUGAGAUUUGUUUUGAUUUUGUGGUCCUAUUCUACUUUAAACUUGUGAAAUGUCAUUAUCUACACAAUGCACCCUACUUAAAAUUUAGACCUGUGCUCAGUGGUCCAGCUCUAAUAAGUGUAAAAUACUUUUUUUCAUUCUAGUAAAAUUUUAUUGAACUACUUUCGUAAAUUAUGAAUCAAAUAAAAUUAAAUACAAAAAAUACAAAAUUUAUGAUAAUAAACCAGGCUUACAGUUUUCCAUGGCUCUGUGUUAUAAGGGGAAAUUCUGUCUUGCGAACUAUUUGAGACAUGAAUGGAUAUUUGUAUCUCCACAUCCAAAUUAAUAUUAUAAGUUUUCAAUGGUAUUUCUCUACAAGAAAAUAUGUUAAAAAACAUUAGCAUGAUUUUAUGUUUACUGAUUAAUUUUUUUGUAAAACUAUUACAGUUAAUAUGAAUUCAGAAAGAAAUCUACGCAAAGAACAGUGAGAUUCCUAAUUCCCACACGUAGAGCAAACUAAUUUUCACCCAAGAUGUUCGAGCAGACUGCAGAGAGUAUAAAAAGAAAAAAGAACGAAUAGAGUGGUUCGUAAAUUUCUUUUAUUAUGCUUUAGUUUUUUCACAAAAAAAAAAACAUAAUACAUGAAUAAAAAAUUCUCGAACAAAAGAAAGAAACAUGUGAAAAUUUUUGAGAGAUUCUCGCUAAAUAUCUUUUUCCCGGGAGAUUUAUUUACAAUUUUGACGCUGCUAAACACUGCUUUCUCUGGUUUCAAUCGUAGUUGAAAAUGAAAAAGAAGGAAAAUUGAAAAAAACGAGAGGUCAAGUAUUGGUUAACGGAUUGAAUUAUAUUGAAUUAUAUGUUUUGACUGAAAUGAAUAUUUUGAUUAACGGAUUGUGUUAUUAAUUUCUUGUAAAAUUAUUUGUUAAAUAACUGUUUGAUUAGUUUUUUUACGACACACACUCAACUUUUUUAACCCAAAUCUUUGUUUCAAUCCAUUGAAACAGAAACACUAAUGUUGUGUUUGGUUGGGGAGAAUGGAAUGGAAUAGAAUGAAAUGAGUAAAAAUAGUUGAAACUAAUAGAGAUGGGAAGAAAAUUUGAAAAAAAAUCGAGAGAGUGCAAAAUUGCUAUGAUAAGAUUUGAGAAAAAUUGAGAAUAUGAGAGGAUGGAGCAUUCCAUCUCAAAUUGAAGGUGUGACAUCUAGCCUAUGAUGUAAAGAAUGAAAUGGAGGAAAAAAUGAAAUUUCUUAAAAACUGUUCAUAAGAUAGUUCAUUUUUCAUUCCAUUCCUUCCGAAAUCAUUCACUCCAACCAAAUACAACAUAACAUUAUAUCAAAAUGAUCAAAACUCGAACACAUUUUAAACAUCUAAUUUCAUUUCAAACCUCUAACUCUCAAAGACUCAAACUACUGUACGACAAUAACCGCGUGCAGGACAACUGUGAUGUCAACAUUUCUAUUAAGAACGAAAAACGGUGCAGUAGAUAAACUAUACACAAGCGAGAACACAUUCGAACGGCAAAGGCAAAAACUACCCCCAACGAAAAAAAUAACUUUCCAUCCGCGAGAUUUCAAAACAGGAAUGUAAUAUUAGAUACGGAGAUUCUUAGAUAUCCGACAUUAAUUUGUUUCCUAACCCCCUUUAUUUUCUCUCUCCCCGUUAUAGAUUUUCUUUCAGAUAACCCCCUCGUGUGCACCGCCCCAUCCCCCAACCAGCUUCUUUUUAAGCACAACAUUUAAACACACUUUUCUCGAUUCACCAUCUUUUAUUAUCUACCAUAACAUGGACUCCAUCUCUCUCCUCAUCUCUAUCCUCGUCUCUCUCUCCGUCUCUCUCGUCUCUCUCCUCGUUUUUCGCUCCACCACGCGCCGUGACCGCCGCUUGCCACCCGGGAGCCUCGGCCUACCUCUUAUCGGCGAAACUCUCCAGCUCAUUUCCGCUUAUAAAACCCAAAACCCUGAACCGUUCAUUGACGACCGGGUCGCUAAGUACGGGUCCAUUUUUACCACACAUGUUUUCGGUGAACCGACGAUUUUUUGCGCUGACCCGGAGACGAACCGGUUCAUUUUGCAGAAUGAAGGGCGGCUUUUCGUGUCGAGUUAUCCCGGUUCGAUAUGUAAUUUGUUGGGUAAACACUCGUUGCUUUUGAUGAGAGGGAAUUUGCAUAAGAGAAUGCAUUCUUUGACCAUGAGCUUUGCAAAUUCUACUAUUAUAAAAGAUCAUUUGUUGGGCGACAUAGACCGGUUGGUUCGGACCAAUCUUGAUUCUUGGACCGGCCGGGUUCUUCUCAUGGAGGAAGCCAAGAAGGUACGUCCGUAACUCACUUCACUUCCUCAGUUGUAAUACUACAGUCACUGUCUUUUUCUGUUAAAGUCAAUAUAAUAUUUUAUUAAUAAAUAUAUUAUGUGAAUAUUCUGAGUUGAUUAAAUAACAACUUUUGAGCCCAAUUGGAUAAUCAAAUCGGUUUAUUCUUUGUUAUCUCGAAUAUCAGAGAUCGACUGGCGCUCACCUGAUACUCAUUUACAAGACAAAUAAAUCUCGAUGAUUUUUGUGUGUGAAUAUUCUUUGGCAUCUUACGAUAAAAAUUAAAAAAUCUGGAAAUAUCAAAUAUUUACAUUUUGGUAUAGAUUAUUAAAAAGAGUGGACGAUAAAUUGAUAAUAAAAGAGACAAGGCAUAUGAGAAUGCAAAUGGGUUGGGUUGAUGAUAUGAUCACAAAACAUGCACAUCUAGCUUUUCACGAUUCCACAAAGUGUGUGUGUGGAAAGAUGGUGUUAUUGAUGGGGAGGGACCAAGUGACCAACAUGAAUACGUAUUUUUAUUAGUACAUGCUUUAGCCACAUCGAGUAACAUGUACAUGUGUGGUGAUCAUGUUUCACUUUGCCUUUUUUCUACUGAUGCUGAUUUUUUUAAAAAAAUAAAUAUUUUUGAUGGAUUGUUUUACUAAUUGAUGUAAUAAUGAGAAUGUUUUGUGAGGGUGCAGAUCACGUUUGAGUUGUCGAUGAAGCAGCUGAUGAGCGUUGAUCCUGGCGAGUGGAGUCGAAAUCUGAUGAAGGAGUACAUGCUUAUGAUUGAAGGCUUCUUCUCCAUUCCGAUCGCCCUCUUCUCUCCCACCUACCGUAAAGCCAUUAAGGUGUGUGUUCUACAUUCGCGUAAAUAUCAUGGUCAUUAUCCUGUUUAUUUGCGGAACAUAUAUGAUUUUUGAGAUCUCCGAUAACACAGUGGUCUUCAUGUAACUCCGUCCAAGUAAAGUGUUCAAAUAUUACAAUGAUAUAUAAUCUGAUAAUCCAAUAUAGUUAAAGUGAUUUGUACUUGUGACUGAUAAUUUAUGCGGAUGGAAAUUGUUUUUACAAUAUUGUAUAAGAGGAACUGAUGAUUUGUACACGAACUCGAAAGUACAAAAUUAGAUUUUUAGUGCAUUUUCAUUUACAAUAUAAAACAGUAUUUGAUAUAAUAUGUGUCAUGUGAUGGGCAGGCCAGAGGGAAGGUGGUUGACGCACUAAGCUUGGUGGUGAGAGAGAGGAGGAGAGAGAGUGAGAAAGGAGGGGAGAGGAAGAAUGAUAUGCUGGCAGCACUGCUGGCCGGAGACGGAGGAGUUGGAUUCUCCGACGAAGAGAUCGUAGAUUUCUUGGUGUCUCUCCUGGUGGCUGGUUAUGAAACCACUUCUACUAGCAUGACUCUGGCUGUUAAGUUCCUCACAGAGACUCCUCUGGCUUUGGCUCAGCUCAAGGUUGGUUGGCCCUUUCUCUUCAUUUUGUAUAUAUGUUUUUACAAAAGUAGCCUUUCAUUAAUGGACAAGAAAGGGAGAGAUCCCCACCACCCCUUAAUCAACCAUCAUGCAUUGUUGGCUAUCUUCCAACCCGUUGCUGUUGAUAUAUAAUUCAUCUAUCUUUUUCUCGAAUUCUCAAUCAAGCAUAUCAUGGACCAUCGCUAUAUAAUUAUACGUGUUAUAUUUAACUUCUCAAGUAAUGAUUAUGAAUUUACAUAAUACAUAUGAGAUUGUCACUUCAAUUUACAGUGCGAUUAUAUGUGCACGUUAAUACAGUACCUAUUCGUGAUAUAUAUAUUAAAAUUUAUUUUGGUCUCUUGUUACCCUGAUAGUAUAAGAGCAUAAUCCUGUAUCCCUACUUGGUCAAAGGUUUCACCUUUCGUUACCUUGGUAAUAUCGGAAGGUGUCGGACACUCGGCACACUACAAUAUUUGACACCUUGGUAAUAUAACAAGACCCUGUACAUAGACACUGUGAUAUAACCAUAAGAGUUGUGUUGAUAAGAAUCAUGAGAUGCAAAGAAAUGAUGCGAUUCAACUAUUCAAGUCGUGACCGACAAUAGUGCCCAGCCAUGCAAAAAUAUUGUUAAUGGGAGAAAACGACCGACUAGCUCCCUCUUCUGGUAGGCAUGGCCUAUGAUCUGUAGCUAUAGGCUACACAGCUUUAGCUGUCCCCACUUUAAUGGUCACAGCUUAUAAAUUUCUUGUCUCUGCUCCCCCUUCACACGUGAGGUUUGACGUACCAGUUACUUCAGAAAGUACAGUAUCCAGUUGGGAGGUCCAUGUAGUCAGAUUACUAUCUCCUCCAUUCAACUCUGUACUUCACUCCUUGCACAGAGAGAUGUACAAUAAUCUUACAAUAAUCUCUCUCACACAUAAAAAUUUGAUUAAUAGUGAUCAACAUCGAGUGUUGACGGUUUUCGGAGGUGAAAUUAUGUAUAAAAAUUUUACGAAUAGUAAUUAAUAUCGAGUGUUAACGGUUUUCGGAGGUGAAACUAAUGUCCUUAAAAUUGAGAAGCAUUGGAGGAAGUGUGAUAUUUAGGGAAAUGGCAUAUUUUAUACUCCCUCUGUCCCAUUUAAUUGUAUACGUUUCUUUUCAACUGCUCGACACGCAUUUCAAUGCUCUUAUAAAAUAUAGUUCCGUAACUUAUUUUUGAGAUUUUCUUUUUCUGAAUAAAAAUAUAACAUCCAAACUUUAAUUCAGAAAAAGAAAAUUUUAAAAAUAAAUUACACAACUACACUUUACAGGAGCAUUAAAGUCCGUGCCGCGUCCCCGUUACUACUCAGGGGGACNNNNNNNNNNNNNNNNNNNNNNNNNNNNNNNNNNNNNNNNNNNNNNNNNNNNNNNNNNNNNNNNNNNNNNNNNNNNNNNNNNNNNNNNNNNNNNNNNNNNNNNNNNNNNNNNNNNNNNNNNNNNNNNNNNNNNNNNNNNNNNNNNNNNNNNNNNNNNNNNNNNNNNNNNNNNNNNNNNNNNNNNNNNNNNNNNNNNNNNNNNNNNNNNNNNNNNNNNNNNNNNNNNNNNNNNNNNNNNNNNNNNNNNNNNNNNNNNNNNNNNNNNNNNNNNNNNNNNNNNNNNNNNNNNNNNNNNNNNNNNNNNNNNNNNNNNNNNNNNNNNNNNNNNNNNNNNNNNNNNNNNNNNNNNNNNNNNNNNNNNNNNNNNNNNNNNNNNNNNNNNNNNNUAGGGGGACGGAGGGAGUAUAAGGGAAAGAGGGUCAAAAAAGUAAUGGGGGAAAAGUGCAGAUGGUAAAGCAAAAAGGUUAAAAAAUGAGGGAAGAAAGUAAGAGUAGUUUGAACAAUAACAUUCUGUUUACAAGUUAGACAAAAUAAUGCUGUCUGUCCCUUAUCUCUCUACUCUAUGAGUAUAUUCCAAACAAAUGUAUACAGUAACAGGAGUACAGUAGUUGAUAAUACUAUUCACUAUUCACUGGACUAUGCACGCCCCCUUCUUUUUCUGUUCUUUUUCUUUUGGAAUUUAGGCACCGUUUUGACAUUCUCCUUUUCUUUUUCCCUUGGGAUACUUGCUUGCUGUCUUUAAACUUUAUUUCUUUGGGACAAUAAGAAUGAUUUUCCUUGGGAGAGUGUAGAGGGAAUGUAUAGUGCACACUUACAUAUCGAGGUUUACGUGUUGAACGUUUAGAUUUAAAUUAACAAAACUUAUGACAAUUUUGUGACAUCGCAUCUUUGGUUUGUAAGAAAUAGCUGUACUCUUGAAUCUUUAAGCAAUAGUUUGAGGUAUCAUGAACAUGUUCUAAUAUAUAUUGUGUUUUAAUAUGAUACCUUACGAGUGAAGACUGAAUGAGUAAGAGCAGAGUAUGAGGCUUUGUUCUUGUAUAUUCUAUACCACGUGCGUAGAGAUCAUGGGAGAAUAACCAGCUCUCCCAAAUUAAUAUGUAUCGGUAUAUCAUGCUCAAUUUUUAAAAUAUGUCUAUAGCAUUAACACAGAAAUAUAAUCAUUGAAAUGGUUUUGCAAAAUAUUUUUAGGAUGAACAUGACGAGAUCCGAGCAAGGAAAGGUGAAGUUGAGGCUUUAGAAUGGGAGGACUACAAGUCAAUGCCUUUCACCCAUUGUGUAAGUGCAGCUUAUGAUAAAAAUUAGCAUUAAAAUGCUCUAUGCAUAAUCUGAUUGUUUUCAUAGUUAUUCCUACAAAUUAAUAUCAUUUUUUUUUCAGGUGGUUAAUGAAACUUUGCGAAUUGCUAACAUAAUUGGUGGAGUAUUUAGGCGAGCUAUGACGGAUGUAACCAUAAAAGGUAUUUUACUUGAGAAAACACAAGGCUCAUCAAAUUCAAGCAUUAUUUCUUCCACAUUUUGUGCAGUAUGUAAUUACACUGUUGUAUCUUAACGGAUUUUGUUAUAAAAAACAGAUUACACUAUUCCAAAAGGUUGGAAAGUAUUUGCCUCGCUCCGUGCAGUUCAUCUCAAUCCUGAAUACUUCAAAGAUGCUAGAACUUUUAAUCCUUGGAGGUGGCAGGUGUGAUACACAAUUCAUCAACUUUUCUUUGUUUGUACAUUCCUAAGAAACAUCUUUGUGAAAAUUAUAACAAUCUGAAAUUGUUUUAACAGAGCAAUUCAGGUGAAAUAAACACUGCCAAUGUGUUCACUCCUUUCGGAGGAGGCCCAAGGCGUUGCCCCGGGUACGAGCUUGCCAAAGUUGAACUCGCAGUUUUCCUUCAUCACCUUGUUACUCGUCUCAGGUAAAACAAAUUUGUCUAAUCAUCUUCCAAACCAGUGACUUAUAUAUUUAUUAUGGAAAGCAUGAUCAGUACAUAAUGUUUUGUGUAUUUGAUCGAACAGCUGGGUUCCUGCUGAAGAAGAUAAGUUGGUAUUCUUCCCAACGACAAGAAUGCAAAAACGAUACCCUAUAAUCAUUCAGCACCAAGAGAAGCCAGCAAGUAAAGUGUAGGCAAGUAGUAAUUCAGGAGGAAACUAAUAAGGUUUGGAUCAGAUAAAUUGAAACAUAUGCAAGGAUAAAAAAAUCGAUGAAAUAUAUAUAAUCUAGCAAUACAUAUAAUACAAGCCGGAUUUUAUAGUUAGUCGUUUUCUAUAGAUGAAAGAUAUCUGGGAGAGUGAGAAAAUGCUCUUGAUUGGCAUGGUAAAUUUGCUCAUGUCUGUUAAAAUCUUGGCGUAUUUCUGCAUAAUUCUCAUGUGAGGUAUUAUCAUCAAUUCGAUGAGAUUGGUCUCGAAUCAAAUGUAUAUAUUUUCUGAUCUUUGCAUAUUUCGCAAGUGUGGUGCCUAUCAUCAGUAAAGAUCGAUGAAACUGGCAUCAAUUUCAUCUUCUUCUGGUUUAAACUUUUAGAAACUGGCAUCAAAUUCAUCCUCUUCUGGUUUAAACUUUUAACAUGUGCUGGACUUCCGAAAUCUCCUGUUCCCAACUCUAUUUUGAAGAGACACCAUUUGCCCUCAUACUAUAAAACCUUGAAUUCUUAUUUCUUAUCAGUAAUCAUGAAGAGGGGAAUAUACCCCCAGCUAUAAGCCAAAAUGUGACUAUUCUGAUGGGUUACUUCACUGUUUCUCUCAUUUUUUUUUACAAUUUUUUUUAUUAUAUUUGACACAGACAUUUUAAAGUGCAUAUAAAUGUUAGGUUCACACUAUUCGUGCAUAUAUCUGGGACAAGGAUCGAGUCAAACUGUUCGUGUUUGAUUGAGAAGAAUGGAAGGAGUAAAAUUAUUUGAAAUUUUUAGUGAUAGGAGAAAAAUUUUGAGAAAAUAUAAAUGAGUACAAAAUUGUUAUGAUGAAAUUUGUAAGAUAUUGAAAGUGGGAAAAAAUGAAAUAUUUUAUCUCAAAUUGUAGGUUUAAUCUCGGACAUAUGAUGUAAGAAAUUGAAUGGAGAAAAAAAGUGAAUUUUUUAAUAAUUGCUUGUAAAAUAGUUUAUAUUUCAUUUCAUUUAUUCCGAAAUCAUUCAUUUCAAACAAACACGACGGAGUAACGGUAGAGUGCGUGCAUUAGUAGCCCAGUGAAUGAGCAUCUGCAACUGCAAGUCUGAAACAAGCUAUUAUUCCUGCUCAUUUUGCUAGACUAAUCAAAUGGAAGCGACUAUUAAGCAGUUACAGAAAUCGGAAAUUAAAUAAACAAGCUAUUAUUCCUGCUCAUUUUGCUAGACUAAUCAAAUGGAAGCGACUAUUAAGCAGUUACAGAAAUCGGAAAUUAAAUAAACAAGCUAUUAUUCCUGCUCAUUUUGCUAGACUAAUCAAAUGGAAGCGACUAUUAAGCAGUUACAGAAAUCGGAAAUUAAAUUGAACCUAAUCGGUUGAGCUAACAACUUAGAAUUAUUCAAAAAUUGAGGAGUAAUCAAAAUAAAAAUCGGAUGUAUUUUAAUAUUAAAAUAUUAUUUAAUAUUUAGUUAUUAUUAUAUUAGUUAUCUAUUAAUAAAUAUAUAUUUAUUAUAUCAUAAAUUCCAUAAUUAUUCAUAUUUAAAGUGAUAUAGUAUUUUAAUUUUAAUAAAUUAUUAUAUAUAUUUCAAUUAAGAAAAACUUAUAAGAAUUAAUCAGAUUUCAAAAAUCAAAUUGGUCAGCAACAUUAUUGCGGGAUUAAUCUGUUAAAUCGGAAAUUUUUAGAACAUUCAUGUUACAUAAUUAACCGAGCCUUCCCUGGAGCUGUUUAUACAAGUGAGGGAAAUGUGGUGCAUCUGAUGGUCCUGAGUACAGAUACCCUUGCGGCUAGCUCAAAUAAGGUCAUCGACUAAUAGACCAUAUUAGGGCCAAGGUCAGCUUGCAAAGCAAGUUCUUCAAAAGUAUCGGUCAUUUGCUGCUUAAGUUAACUUUUUAUUUUAGUGUAGUAUUAGGUUUAAUCAUAGCAUAUGCAAAACUACCUUAACCACAUGCAAUUUGUUUGCAGAAUUAGAGAUGAUAAAUUGCUAACAAAGUGCCUACCCUUUUCUGUUGCAGCUAAAAAUUUUGGCAGUUCUAAUAUUCAAACAACAUGAACAAACCCGGAAAUACUUUUCCUCAAUAGUCAGUACUAUCACGAGAUUUAAGUGCUGAUUCCACCAUCUUAACCUUUUCAGUAUUUUCGCUAUUGACAAGUGACAGUUUUUCAACUGCAGACCUGAGGCGGGAUAUUUGGUCAUUUUGAGCAUAAUUCUUCCUACCUGAUAACCUGUGUUGUUCACUUGCUUUGUUUCGAAGAGAAUGCGUGUAUCUUUUCAACCUUGCAUUCAGAGCUUCGACUGAAGAAUGCAAAGCCUCCAAUUCAACUUCCCGAAACAUGUCUGCACAUUUAAUAGAAAAGGAAAUGAAGUGAAGUCAAAGUAAGGAUUUAAGUAAAGUGAAUGUACAUUUCAACAAAAGAAAGAAAACGCAAGGAAAAAGAAGUCAUCAAUAGACAUCUGCUGAAAAGAUUUUUCAUAAAAUAACAAUAUUCUAACACAUGGAAAGUGAAGGAACCAAAACUUACCUGCAAUCUCAAGCAGUAAAACCAAGUUUAACAAACAUAUAGACAGUUUAAUAUAAAGCUAAAAAGAAUUAAUGAUAACCACAGUGCCUCGGGGAUCUAUAUAUUACUACGAGUCAAAUUUUAUAUUAUACUACCAAAGCUGAAAAAUUAAAAAUUUGGUCAGUCGGUAAUUGGGCAAUUCUAUAUGCCUAAUUAUUGUAAACCAUAUUAUAAGGGGCCUAUUUAUUUUAAACAGAAAAUAUUUAGCUUUUAAACGUCUCUAGGGCCUACUUGUUUUUAGUGCCUAGCCUUCUUGUUUUAAAUGCCAAACUUAAGGGGCUUAAUUAUUAAAAACUUAUCUUAACAGACUUAUUAAAAACCUAGCUAUUCUAAUUUAAACACAUAAACCUACUUAUUCAAAACUUAUUUAGAAAGCCUAAUUGUCCUAAAACCUAUUUAAAUACAAAGACACAUACUAUUACAAUAUAAACACAUCUCCUGAAGAAAAGUAAAUGUAAAUAAAAUAUAAGUUAAGAUAACAUAUGUUUAAACUAACCCGUGCAUCCCACGAGAUUUAAGCUAGUAUAUUUGGUGCUCGAAACUUACCCAAUUCUGAUUUGAACUCUCGCUCUGCUUUUGAUAAUGGUUUCUUGUGAACCCCGGGUAACUUUCUCAGGCUAUGUAAGCGCUCUUCUAAAAGAUUAUGACGCUGAACAACAUGAUCAGUGCGCUCAUCUAGUUUUCCCUGUUUCUCCUCCACCUUGGAAAGCCUCUGAUGUGCCUCACGUAAACGUGCAUGCUGAUCAUCUAUAAUUUUCUUUAGUUGAGGUCCAUGACGUUCAAGCUCGAAGCACACCUAGCAAAAGAAGAAAAAGUUAUUUUAAGUAUCAUAUCCUACCUUAAUGUGCAUAAGGGAAGAUAAUAACAAUUGAAUAAACAGCUCUCUUUUGUAUAAAACAUAACAAUUAUCAUUCGAGACAUAUUUACAGCGAAUGAAUUAACAAUACACUGUGCUGUAUUAUAAUACAGGCUGAUAGGAUCCAAAGAAUUACCAUCAAACUUUUACAGUGCUCAACUUUAAGCACAGAUGCGGGCAAAUAGAUAAACCUGACAUAGCCAUUGCAGAAAUGUUUUCGUUAAUUAAAGACACCUAUCCCUGAAAGAAAUUAAAGCAACUCUGCUGUCGCCCAACUAUAGACGUUCACAAAAAAUGCAUAACUAUUUAAUGAAGGGAAAAUCCUAGAGAAAAGAAGGGAGCCUAAACUCUAAAAAAGAUCUAUCUAAUAAUGAUAAGCCCCAAAAAAAGAAGAAAAGGCAGAAUCUCUUUUCAGAACAAGAUAAUCUGUCUAUAUUAGUGCAGAUGGGAAAAAAGUCAUAUUGCCUGCCAUUACCUUAUGUGCAUACUCCACAUAAUUUUCAUUAAAUAGCUUGAUGUACUGGUGAAGUGUUGAUCGGCCUUCAAUAGAAUCAGCAUUAGCAGAGCGCAGAAAAGGGGUGGAAGGAGGCAGAAGAACCACAUUAGGGCCAGCAAGAAGUUCUUUACUUAUAAUAGUUGAAGUAUCACUUUCUGUUGGCUCUUCAAUGUUUGAAGCUUUCUUCCCCUGAUCUAUAUCAAUAGGAAGUAACAAAUUCCAAGUUUCCAUCUCUAGCACAACACAUUCAUUAGAGGAUGUCAAUCCUACAAUCCAUGAGCUUCCAAAUGAAUCGGACAAUGCUAUAAACCCAGAAAGAGGAGAUUGUGUGGAGGAAUCUCCUUGGCAUGUGUUGAGAACAGAAUGCACAGAUGGAGUCCUCAUGAUCUCAUGCUUGCCACUUGCUUGACUUGUAAAAGGAAGAAAAUGCAACACUAUUGAAUCUACCCCUCCAUCAUGAAUGGAAUAUAUUCUCUCAGGAACAAGGGGAUCAAUAAACAUCAAUAUUCGAGAACCACUUUCUUUAGUCUUUGGCAGAGCUAAAUCUACUAUUGCCAACCUCAACAAGGGUGGUGGAUGACCCAACCAAGGAGUAGGAUCAGGUGACUGAUCAAGCUGAACAAUGGAGUUCUGCCUGAUAGAUUCACAAAUCAUGGCAACACCAACUAUCCGAUCAUAAGAAUCAACACGAAGACGAGGAGGGCAAUCAAGAGCCCAUAAUGGUUGUAUUUCAUCAGCCAAUGCAUCUACUUGCAGUUGCCCACCACUCCAAGCAGUAAUAAGAAUCGAAUCUUUGCUUACUGAAUUGUAAAGAAAACUCACUGCACGACCUUCACAUUCUGCAGCCUGAUACUCAUGUGUUUCUUCCCCACCAUGGCAUACUUUUUGAAGAGGUCCCUGAAAUUCAUAAAUGAUAAUAUUUUGUAUGCAUCAUACAUAAAAUAAGCCGGAUAAGUCUAUCUACAUUCAGCCAUAAAAGAAUUCCAUGCUUAAAUCUUUCUAUCAAAAUUCCAUAGAGAAACAAUUGAAAUUAUAUAAAAACAACAGGAAACCAGGUCUAUCUCACGUAAAUGGCUACUGUAAGCUAAUAUGCAAUAGUUAGCGUGCAAAAACACACACAGACACACACACAAAAUACAGGUGCACAAGUACAUACAACAAACAAAACAACCGACUUCAUACGUGCGCUUAUUAUAGCCAUUUAUAAUAUGAAUAAGAGAUAUGAGAUUUCCAUUUAAAGACCUUUUUUGGAUUGAUUAGAGAAAAAUGGUUGAACCACAAACUUGACAAUGAACUAAGGAUUGAAACUCCACUGCAUCAUUUCUAAUUAAAUGGUUAGCUACCAUGCAAGAAACUGUCGGGAACAAACCUAAAAAGAACACACCUGCAAAGAAAUGGAUGCAUCAAAUAAAGCGUAAGGUUGAGCUUUCACUGCACUUAGGUUUCCCACUUCCAAUGCUUCAUGUGCUAACUCAGGAAAUGUUGCUUCCAACCAUGAGAUUGCACAACUGGAAUUACUAACAGAUUUGGAAUUAGAAGAUCUCUGGCCAAAUGUCUGGGCAUCAGUAUAUAUUUCCAAUAGAGAGUCCCAUCUAUACACACUGCAGGAAAACAAAAACUGUUCACAUGCAGUUAUUGUUCAAUCAAAGCAUCAGUUAUUGUGGCAGAAUAAGUGUGACAUUUUUUACAUUAUAUAAGCCAGGUGCACGCGUUAUUAGGUAAACAAAAAUGUUCCAUUGCAACUAGUUAAAACUCAAAAGGACAAAUUCUAGAUACGAGUACAAGACCAACCAACAAUUCCAAUUAAAACCUAGAAACUAGUUUUCAACAAUGGUGGACCAGUUACUUAUGACACGAUGCAUUAUAUUUUAAAUGAAUAUGCAAUUAGAGGAAGAUGAUAAAUAGGAAAAAAGGCAGGUAAAUUAUAUCCAAUUCCACCACAGAAUUUUUUUUUGAUUCUUGCGUCCAGUUCCUAUAGAACCUCACUAAAUAACCCCUAGAGGAGUCAUGACAGUCCAAAACAACUGAUUAUUAUUAAGGAGCAGUAUGCUUUCAGGGUUGAUAGACUGUUUCCAUUUUUCUCAUAUAUUACAAUUGAAGAAAAUAACUUUUUUGCUGAUAGUGUACAAUAGAGUUGAAGACUGCAUAACUACCUACGUUCUACGACUCCCAUUCUUUCAUAUUCCCCUUACUAUCUCUCAUUCUUAAAUUAUUAUAGUGAGUGAAAAGAGAAGGUAAAGAAUGAGAAUAUAGAGAAAGCAGCCAGUUAGCAAGUACUUGUAGAAAAGAGAUAAUCCUUUAGAAGUAGAUGAGAGAUUAUAAUGCACAUCAGCCGGCAGAUACAUGAUAUGCAUCCAAUACAAACACUUAAUCAUUUCAUGUAGCUAAAAGUCGAUGAAACAUUGUAGUACUUCUGUAUUUUCAUGGUCCUUUGUAGGCAUGUGGUUUACUUGUUUAAAUUGCAUAAUUAUGGAACAAAUCAUCUGAAGACAAUGUAGGGAGGGACAUGAACUUGAUUAGGGGUUGGAGUUGCAUGCAAGUUGCUCACAGAAAUUGGAAUUCGUGGUGCAAUUGGCAACUGAAACAUGCUGGAAACCUUUUUAAAUGACCGUACGUCUUUUUUUAUUAAUGUCAUUUUUUUGAUUUCACUUUCAAAAUUGAGAGGCUGGUAUGAUAUAAUACUUAUGCCAUUGACAGUAUAGGGGCUCUAACUCCCUUUUCUAGCUUUGUGAUUGUUUUGCGCUCCUUUACUAUUACCUUUGAGUAUUAAAUGACAUUAGCGAGCAACCCCACUUUAACAACUUUAAUGGCUCCAAUCUUUUUAAUAAUCCCUCAUUGGACUCUUCAAAGUUCAAACUGUCUACAUGCAGAUAUUCUAUCAUGAUCAUGUCCUCCGUAUCUCCAAUGGUACUAAUAUCACACUCAGUCAUAUUGGAAACACCCUUGUAUACUACUCCCUCCAUCCCACCAGGUUCUUUACGUUACUUUUUGGCACGCAUUUUGAGGCUCUUAUAAAAUAUACUUACAUAAUAUAUAUACUUUCAAAAAAAUUCCUGAAAAAAAGUUUGACGUAUAAAAUUAGAUUCAAAAAAAGAAAAAAUUUAAAAAAUGUUAUAGAACUACACUUUACAAGAGCCUCGAAAUGCGUGCAAACAGUGUACAUAAACAAUCUGGCGGAACGGAGGGAGUAUAUUUUACAACAUCUAGUAUAUGUGUUAAUUUGUGAACGAUUUACAAAAGAAUACUGUUUCCUGACGAUAAAAGAUCUAUGGGUGAUUUCUUAAAAGCCAACAAGACCGCCACAGUUAUCGAUUACAUGGGUCACAUAAACCUAGACAAGGGAAUAAGAAUUGUGCUUGAUACUUUGAUAAAAAACAUUCAAAUAAAAGCAUGAGCAUUAUGCAAACUGUGAAGCAUUAGAAGUAUUACCCUCCGAAUGGUACAACUGGGCAUAAAAUGUAAACUGCACCAUCACUAAAUAAAAUAAAAACCUGCAUACAGCAAGAAAAACUUUAUUAGUAUAUAAAUGAAAGGCAAGUACAGCUUAAAAGUAAAAGAAGUGUUUAAAUUAAGGAAAGGUUGUGCAAGUGUUAAUUGUCAAGCAACUUUCAUAGAACAUAUACAAUCUUUAGGCGUUAGGAGCAUCAUCAAUCAUAUAGUACCCCAUAACACCAUAAAUUUAUACGACUCAGUAUGUGUUUUGCAACAGUUAUAAUAAUUCAAAAUUAAAAUUUCUAUAGCAAACAUCACCAAGCAUAUACACAAGUGAGUAAGAAUAGACAUAAUUAUAGUUAUCCACCAUGAUUUAACUGCCAAACAAAAUUCAUAAGCUUACACUAAAUUUAUCCCACAAGUGGUCACCACCAAAAAAAAAAUCUACUGGGCGGAUUGAUGCAGCAUUUCUUGAUCUACCAGAUUCCACAGGCUGCAAAUAGUAUUCCUGCUCUGGUUGCCCGGGAGACGAAGACAAAUCAAAUAACCUGAAAAGGUAAAGAGAACUGCUAAAUCACACAUGAAACAAUAAACAGCCUUGACUACAGAUAAUAUAAAGGAAAUUGAAUAGUUUGACUAAUGUGAAAAGGAUGUUCUAGCAUACUACACACAGGUAUUGAGUCAAACAAAUCUAUUUUUCUAUACUAUACUAUUAUAACGGGAAUAUGGGUAUAUUAAAUUGACGGGUAAAAAGAAUAACGACCGCUAAAUUUUAAAGUCAAUAGAUUAAAGCCGUUAGAUCUAAUACUAAGGAAUCUACAAAAUUUUUAUAUUUUAAUAUAUGAACUACUUCUAAAGGUCCAAAGUUUCAAUCCCAUCAACAUAUUAAAACAAAUAUUUAUAUUACUGAUUUUAAAUAUACAAACAAAUGUGUGGGGUUUGAACCCCAUUAACCACAUAUUAUAAUGAUUUUUUUUUUCAAAAUUCUCUUAACAAUUACUCCCUCCGUCCCCUCCAAUUCUUAUCGUUUGGAAUGGAAUGCUCGGCACGCAUUUUAAGGCUCAUAUAAAAUGUAGUUCUAUCACUUAUUAUUAUAAUUUUCUUUUUCUGAAUAAAAAUAUAAACAUUAGAUUUUUAUUCAGAAAAAAAAAAAUUUAAAAAUAAGUUAUGGAACUAAACUUUAUAUGAGCCUUAAUACACGUGCUGGACACUCCAUUCUAAAUGAUAAGAAUUGGAGGGGACGGAGGGAGUAUGAUUUAUGUUAUUUCAAAUCAUUAAACAAUUAUUAGAUUUUUAGUAAAUCUCUUAUUAAUUACUCCCUCCAUCCCCCUCAAUUGUUUACAUUGGGGGACGGGGGCUCGGCACGCAUUCUAAUGCUCUCAUAAAAUAUAGUUUGAUACAUUAUUUUGAACUUUUUUUUUCCUUUUGAAUAUAAAUUUACUAUCUAAACUUUUAUACAAAGAAGAAAAUUUUCAAAAAAAUUAUUAUGGAACUAUGUUUUAUAUGCGCUUUAAAAUGCGUGUCGAGCAAUGUAAAAAGUGUAAAGAAAUAAGAGGGACAGAGGGAGUAUAACUCAUUUAAUUUCAGAUCUUUUAAAAUUUAUUAAAAUUUUAAUAAUAUUGUCCAACUAUAUAGUCAUUUUACGAAUAUAUAAGUACUAUUAAAUUAUAAGUAUACAUAUUAAAAUUAUAAAAGAAAAUCCGCGUGACGGGUACUAAGCUAGUACCGUGUAAUUAGUUGACUAAAGUUAACUACAUGAAUUGGCUAUAGUGUGCAGAUACUUGGUAAACCAUACUACAAACAAAACACAAAUGUAAUUCCCUUUUUGUACGAUAUAAGAUGAAUUUAACAGAAUUGCCUAAACAAAAUACUUUCCAAAGUACUAUGGAAAGGUCCUCUCAAUGAUCUAAGCCCACACCUUUUAAUCGAGAGCUUACCAGAAAUGGGAGCGUAUGGAUUGAUUCUGAUUAAUAUGGAAUUAUUAUCCCACACAUACAUAUUUGAAUGGGUUGUUCUUACAAAAUUUGCUCCGACAUUCCAAUCUAAAUAAUCAUUGUUGUACUUCCAUCAAUCAUUGUUUUUUCUGGUGAAGAGUGCUCUGCAGCGGUUACAAAAGAAAACACCAUCUCACGCUACACAUUAUCUGAUUUUAUCAUCUUUUGGGAUUAUUCAUACCAAAUCUAGAUUCUUUUUCAAAAUUUCUUCCUUUUUUUACCACUCAAGAUUCUAUAUUUAUCAGGGACUAGUUUCUUUGGUGAAUGUUUCGUUUUACUUCCAAUAAACUUAUUGCCCGGGAAAUAACUGCUACUCCUGCAAGAUUUCCAGAUGUUGCCGCUCACUCCCUCCGUGUUCUUUUCCUUUGUGUGCGGCCAAGAUUUAGUAUUAGUUAAUUACACAUUUUGUAUUAAAUUGUCUAAUCUCAUUAAUCCAUACACUCAGUUUGUUGUUGGCAUAUUAGACAUAGAUAUAGACACAAACAUUGUAUCAACAUUAACCAGUGCGUACUAAUGGAUCAUCACGGAUGUUGGUGCGUCGAAGAAUUUGGUAAAGUUUAGUGCGUACUAACGGAUCAUCACCGAUGUUGGUUCGUCGAAGGAUUUGGUAAGGUGGAUCAUCACGGAUGUUGUUCGUCGAAGGAUUUGGUAAGGUGGAUCAUCACGGAUGUUGGUUCGUCGAAGGAUUUAGUAAGGUUUAGUGCAUACUAAUGGAUCAUCACGGAUGUUGCUUCGUCGAAGGAUUUAGUAAGGUUUUGUUGCUUUGGCAGCAUAGAUGAAGCAGAACCGACAUAGAUGGAUUACACAAGAAGAAAUCAAGUUAAUUCAAAAAACUGUGCAAAUAGUGGCAGUUCUUAUCCAGUUUGAUAUCUCCGUUUCGGAUCAUUGUCACCCAUCAUCGACAAACGGGAACUGUUUAGGUAAGUCCCAUGUGAAGAAGGCCAUGGACUAAGAUAUAUUAAUAUUGUAUCACACAGUAUAUUAUUUAUUGUGCACUAAGUCGGGGGUCUUCACGGAAACAGCCUCUCUGCUUUAAGGGUAGGGGCAUGGUUAUUGUGCACCAAGCCGGGGGUCUUCACGGAAACAGCCUCUCUGCUUUAAGGGUAGGGGCAUGGUUGCGUACAUCUUACCCUCCUCAGACCCUGCUCUAAGCGGGAUAUACCGAGUAUGUUUGAUUUGGUUUGGUUACAUACAUAUUUGAAAGGCUAAAUUAGUUGGAAAAAGUCAUUUUAUCAUACUUCUUCAUUUGAAUUCAAUUUGAUACAUACAUACAUAUAUAUAUAUAUAUCAAGGUUGGGAAAGUGAGGAAGAAACAUAUGUAGAAAUUGGAACAGCUUUCAAAACGAAGGGGACUAAAUAAGAACAAGAGGGAUCCAUCGAAAAAGAUCCUUCUUCCUUUUUCUCGAAAGAUAAAGAGGAUCCCCACCCCAGAAUGAGUGCUCUCCUAUUCUGACUUCCCUGGAGCCUCAGCCUCAGGCAGCACAACCAGCCUUAUGAGGUGACAAUCUCAGGUACGAUUCUGUAAUAGUGUUGUGAACAGUAAUGUUCUUGUCGACUAUAGUCAUCUAAAAGUUCGAGCCAGUUCAUAUAGUUGAACCACAGUCAAAAUAUAGGUUUCGAUGGAAUUUGUGGCAUCAACCUAUAAGGCUUAUUUGAGUAUCCGCAGGCCCUGAAUUAUCAAUAGCUCUCUAAGUACUUUGAAAAUUGUCCACGAUUCGUUCUGGUAAAUGGAACACUUAAAUGAAACCUCCUGUAUCAAUUAUUUCCAUUCCUUUUGUAGAAACACUUGAACCAUUGGCGACCUCAAGUUCGUCGGAAUCAAUGGAGACUCGUUAUUUCGAUGAAUCACUCUAUUGGGACAAAGAUGGGUUGUCGAGAAUGUGGAGGUAGGUUGAGCAGUUGGUCAAUCCAGUGUUGGAUUGUGGAUUGGUCAAUCCAGUGUGGAUCGUACAUGGACGGUAGUUGGAGCCUGGAGGCGGUGGCUUAUACGUUGGUUGUAUUUCAUCUCUUCAAUAAGUAGAGCUUUGCCUGUGUGGAAGUUGUGUCUAUAAAACCAAGCCGAAGUAAAAUCUACUUCUAACUAAUUUCAACCAGGACAUAUGAUGUUUGAGUUUUCUGGAGAUAGAAGUGAAAAACAAAAGCGAAAUUAUUCAACUACUUAAAAGAUUGUACUUGGAUUCACUAGCUUCUUUAUCAAAUAUGUUAGAAACAGAUAAUUACAUUUAAGGAAAUGUAAGAAUCCCAGAGGAGUUUUAAAGAGAUCUAGAGUUCGUCUGGCUGAGCUUAUGACUUAACGUGACUUAUGUGAUAAGCUGGGAGUUUAAAAUAUUUGUUUGGGUAAUUUUUACUUGAGAGUUAUUAAAAAUAUAAUAAUAAAAAUAAAAAUAAAAGUGAUUUAGAGGUAAUUUAUGUCAUAUGAUUAAUUUUUGUCAAAAAAAGUUUAAAAAAUUUAAUUCACUGAAAAAAGUAGCUCAAACUAACUUCUGGCUUCAAGUCAGUUUCUGGCUUAUCUCUGACUUUAAGUUAGCUUCUGGCUUAUUACAAAACAGACAUUUUGCAGCUUAAAGUUGUAAACAGCUUUAAGUCCCGAUUUUAAGCCGGGACAAACAAGCUCCUGAUUAGAGAGAUAGAAACCAUAAUUUAUCGAUAGAGAUUUUGCGGUAGCCUCCUAAUAACUGGAAGUCAUUUUCAGAUGUCUAAUCUAUCACAACAGGAAACCAUGCAUUUACAGCUUAUAGUCAAUAGUCAACUUAGUAGUGGAGUAGUCGACUAGUAUCAACUACUUCAAUUUACUAACUGUACUACUAACAAACCAAUGGCUGAAAAGAAGUGCUUAUAAGUAAUUUUUAGCUAAAGCAAACACGCUUUACAUAAAUAUGUCAUACUAUAAUGCGCCUGUUUGGAAACCAGAAGCAACUUCUGCUUCUGACUUCUGCUUUUCUUGACCCGUUUGUGUAAAGAAGUAGAAGCACUUUCAAGAAGUUGAGAAUGUUAGUUUCUCUCUCACAGCUUCUGCUUCUUUUCUAAACACUUUAUUAACUUAUUUACUUCUCACAUCUACUCCAUUUAUACUCCACUUCUUUAUUUUAAGCAAGAAGUCACUUUUUUUAAACUUGGCCAAACGCCCCCAAUGGCUGUUCACACAAUUAGGUGACCAUCAGAUUGGAUGAACAUAUGUGUAGUGACUAUUUGCUUCAAGUAUAAUUUGUAAUCAUUAUAGUAACCUUAAUAAUAAAAGUUAAAGAUUAGUUGCUCAACUAAUUUCAGCCAGGACAUAUGAUGUUUGAGUUUUCUGGAGAUACAAGUGAAAAAAAGAAAGCGAAAUUAUUAAACUAUUUUGGAGAUUGUAUUUGGAUUCACUAGCUUCUUUAUCAAAUAUGUCAGGAACAGAUAAUUACAUUUAAGGAUAUGUUACAACUAGAAAUUUUUCCAAAAAAUUGAAUAUUUUGCAGGAAGUUACCAAGUCUACACUAAUGGUGUAAACGAGAACUAUUACAUGACAAUCCUGAAUCGCAGAUCCCUCACUUGGUAAAAGUUUGUAUUUUCUGGGAAUAAAAUCAAAUUUUCUGCUCAACCUCCACUAAAUGACAAUGGAAAUAUAAAUGGAUGUUGUGGUACCUGAAAACAGAGUCCGAAGACAAGAUUCCUAUAUGGGUGUCACUGUAAGGGUGCCAUGAAAUUUGUAGAGUCCGGAUCACAUUGUUCUGGUUGAAGUAGAUGUCUGAACCAAUGGACACAGUUCUGGGAACAGUAACAUCAAUGUUAAGCUAGGUAUAUACAUAAUUUAAGCAAUAAUUAAUCAUGUAAUCUGAGCUGAAAUGGCAUUGCCUGCCAACAAAAAGAUGCGUGACAAUAUGACACACAAUAAGUAGACUGUGUGUAUUAUGCAACCUACAUUUUAUUCUUAUGAAACAGUUAGCAACUUAGCAUAAAAUGUGGAGAUAAAACGAGUAACAUCAGGGAAAUGGUAAUCUCUCAGGAUAUCAAUUCUCUCAUCUUAGAGGCAUAUUCAUAUAGCACGUAGCAAUUAGAAAACGUACGAGGUAAAUAAACAAGUAAAAGCACCAAUAUCAUCUCUAGUUUUAGAAAAGAUCUCUCGCCCAGUUCUUUAAUAAUCUCCAUUUCUAUCUUCCUAAAACAGUUUGGUGGCAGAGUUAUAUGUAGUCGUGUACUCUUAUCUAAUAAAAUAUUUUUCAUAUGAUAAGUUUAUAUAUAUUAUAGAGAGCAUACAAUCAUUUAUACAUACACAUAAAACUAACCAAAUAGAGUAGUAAAAGAUCCUAGGGAAAUAAAGUAAUUUGUAAGUUAAGAGGUACAGAAAAUUAACUUCUUCAGGUGGUUCUAGGUGGCCUCCUAAGAGUAGAAUACCAUCUAGGCUAUGUUUGUCUGCAAGUAAUAUCAUCCCUUCUAAGGUACUCAAUUCAUAACAUAUAAUCCCUUGUAGUUCAGGUACUCAGUUCAUAAUAUAUGAUUCCUUGCAUUAAUUCCAUGUAAUAUCUUAAUAACUUUUGGGGUUCAUUUAAUAUUUUAAUUCCACCUUUAAAUAUCCAGUAGGCUUCCACCUGGGCAAAAAUUAAAGCAUUGCUUCCAGUGCUUAAGCAUUACAGAAAAGAAGGUUACGGAGUGUGAAGAUAUAAAGGUCAAAAUUAAAGGGGAAGCAAUUCGUUUAAAAACCAUAUUGCAAUGUAACAUCAGGAGCUACUAACAUGUCAAAAUACAGAUAUUUGAAUACAAUAUAGCAGGACAAAUGAACUGGCAAUCAAUCUAGUAUGUUUUUGCAGACUUCUGCGUGCGCCGAUUUUAAACCCGCAUUUUGUUCUUCACAUACCUGCAUAUAGUAGCAUUAACUUGCGCUGAACUGCGCCCAUAGAGGUACAUGACACGCAGCCCAUCCGAACCAGCUAAAAGUAUAGCCGACCCGUUUCUGUUAAUAGAAAUUCUAUUCACCACAAAGUUAAGUGGUACAUCCGCUUGCAAUGCCUGCCAAAUAAUCAAAAAUCAAUCACAACUCAACACAUUCCAACAAGAACAAAAUAACAGUACAUUCCCAAUUUCCCCAAAUGCAAUAAUUAUAACUAAUUCAAAUUCAGCUAAAGCAUACAUUCAGCUACACUGCUACACUAAAACAUCAAUAAUAUAAGUAUUCAAUUCAUUUCUCGAGAUUAACAUACAAUGCACCUUUUACUUUAGCCCAACAGUACAUAAUAAACGGUUAAUUACAAAUUACAACUUCUUCGGUACAUAAAAAUUCAUACUAUUAAAACUCCUUACGCACAACUAAUCUAAUUAUUUGGUACAAAUUGCGUGCUUCGAACAAAACAAAAUCUUCAAAUUCAACAAUGUAGUAGUUGAAAAAAGUGAUAGGAGGUACCUUAGCAGGAGAAGCGGCGAGAACAGAGGUGGGGUCAGGUUCACCAAGGCGAAUAGAGAUUCUGUUAAGGCAGUGUUUGGCAGGGUCCCAAUAAUACACCCGAGAAGCUCCGUCCCAGGCCAGCAGAUUCUCCGGCACGGCGGUGGAUGUGGUGGUGGAGAAGAGGGGGUGAUUUUGAAGAGGGACCCACUGGAUUUGUGGGUCAGUGGGAGUUAGGGUUUUAGGGUCGUCUGAUGAUGGUAUAUCGAAACUGUAUCUCAUCUUUUGUUGUUAGUGGUUUAUGACAGGGUUGUAUUAGAAGUGGUGUUUGGUUUUCAAAGCAUCUCCGAUGUUCGGCUUAUGACGGGGUACCAAUUACUACCAGCUUUGCCCCGCUAUCGAUUUUAAUUUUUUUCCUUAUAAUUACUUUUUGGCAUUCCUUUUAAGAAACCUCAAUAGUUGACGUCGCUAAAGGCCAACUUUAUCUAAUUUGUCUAAUUUUAAUAUACUUUCUAUAUCAAUAUAAAAAUGAUAUUUAUACAUCAUUAAGUUCAUAAAAUGAAAUUGAUAUCCUAUAUUUUAUGGGAUAGUCAAUUUUCAAUAUAAAUCAUGUGGCGAAUAAAAUUAGAGAGAAUUAUUAUUUAUUAGUUGAAUGUUUAAUAACUGCAUUCCAAUUCUAUCACUCUUAUUCACUGUUCAACCUAUGCAUUUCAAGAAUCAUACAUGUAUUUUAUUAAAUCUUAUCAUACAAAAUUUGCAUUUAUUCAUUUGUUUUCCAAAAAAUUUUCUUUUAUUCUAUUUGUUUUUUUAGUUUGAACUCGUUCUAUUUUUUUAAAACGAAAAAUAAAGAAUUUAAUAAAUAACUGAAACUCAGGAGACAAACCCAAAAAGAUACUCGACAAGGACUCACCCAAAAAGUGUGAGAUCUUGAUUUUGUUAAUAAAACCGAUAAAAGGAGAGAAGAUGGAAAAGCGAAGAGGAUUAAUAAGAUGAGGAUGAAUGCUGAAAAGCGGAGAAGUGACGGUCCUUAAUUUUGGAGGUCGACUCUCAAAACUGCAAAUCUUAUAUGUUAUCAAGACACCAGUUUAAUUCAGAAAAUUUAGGACUUGAUGUUCAUAAACUCGUUCUAUUUUAUUUUACUCACGCCAACCAAAUACAACACCAAUACUCAAAAUCAUUUGAGGUAAACUUAACAACCAACUUAGUUUGGUUGACAUCUUUAUACUCAAGAAGUAUUCAAAAAGCAGUAUUUGAUGAAAUUGUUUGGUUGUCAUUAAUUCAGAAAGUGUAAAUUUCUUGAAAUUUUAAAUACCCGCAGAUCAUGUGAAGUUACUCGUCUGAUCCCCUCUCUUGAUAACUUGCACUUUUAUAAGAAUGUUAAAAUAUUUUCACUAACCUAACACAAAUUUUAACUUACCAUUUAUUAUAAUUUUCACGAUGAUUCCAAAUUAUAUAAGAAUUAACUUUCUAUCUGUAACCAAACAAGAACUUAAUCAAACAGCUUGGAGAUGGAGAACCUUGAUUUAGAAGACUUAAUUGAUCAAAAUAAAAACUUGGAAUUCAACUUAUCUAAAAAAAAAAACUUUGAUCUCUUGUCAAUUGGAUUAUAAGUAUGUUUUCAAUAUUUGUUAUUUUUUACCUUUUCCUUGAUAAACUUUUUGCUCUUUAUUCACCUUUUUUCCCUCCAUUUAUCUUUAUAUAUUUCAUCUUCUCAACUAGACAGAUUUUACAUACUUUAUAUUAGGAUAUCGUUUACAAGAACAUAAAAAGUCAGUCAUCCAAUGGCUUUUAAAUAUUAAGGCAAACUUUAGUCAGGUACUAGUACUAAUCAUCACCAAAUAUAAUCAUAAGUAAUUGGCAAGAAAAAUUAUAUUAAUUUUUUUCACAUUUUUUAAGAUUUUUAUCAUAUAUUUAAAAAUAUUAUAUUUAUUCUUUUAUAAAAAAAUAUCAUAUUUUUAUUUUUAACAAAAAAUAUAAAAAAUUUAAUUAAUUAGAAUAAAGAUCUGAAAUUCAACUUCUUAAAAUAAAUAUAUCUUCUAUCUCAGGUCCCUUGGAUUAUAAGUUAAACAUAUACUUUUUACCAGUAGAAAAAAAUUAUAAACCCUAAGCUUUUUUUUUCUCUCAUCUCUCAAGCCGCCUCUCUCUCUUCUCAUUCCGACGGGGCUUCUAUCAAUUUUUCGGUGGAAAACCCCAAAUCUUUUCGUUUAAUUGCUUGUUUUUUGGUUAUUUUUUCUUGUUUCUUUGAUUUUCUCAAUAAAACUCUCUCUUUGAGCAAAGUUAUCUUAGAUCUAUAUCACCGAAACUUUCGAUUUUCGUUCUUAUUCACUUUCAGAGGGCUUUUUAAAUUUAUGAGUGGAUCGAUUAUCUUGAAGUGUAGAUUCGUGGUGUAGAUCUAAUCGUUUCUAGUGUGUUAUAAUUAUAGUUUGAUUUCUCUCCUUGGUGAGAGUAUGUGAUUUUUCUCUCCUCUUUUGUGAGAGUGUGUGGUUUUCUCUCCUUUUUUUUGUGAGAGUUGGUUCAGAUUUAUUAAUAAAAGCCUUUCGGGAAUUGCAUUUGUGGUUGAUAGGUCAAACGGAUUGUUUGGAAAAGAUGGUGAACACAGAACAAGGAUCUAUAAAUAUACCAUCGUUAAUUUCAACAUCGUUUAUUUGUCUCAUCUUGGGUAUGAAGACAGGCGUGUUAUUCUAUUCUAUAUUUGUUCGACUCGAUCAUUAUUGUAGUGACUGUAUGGAUGUUAUUUAUUGAAUUAUCUCCUUCUAUUAAAAAAAAAACAUAUACUUUUUACCUUAUUUAUUCCACGCCUCAAUAUUCAUUCUCUCUCUGGUUCUCCUAUAUCACCCGAACCAUUCUUUACCAUUAUGUGUUACCCUCAAUAUAUUUGGUACUCCCUCCGUUCCGGUCAUUUCUAUACAGUUUCCUCUUUGGGACGUCCCAUCAUUUCUAUACAUAUCUAAAAUAGCAAUUUUUAAUAAUGUAAAACACUACUCCCUCCGUCUCAAUUUAUAGGUCCAGUUUGGAAAAAAAAUUUGUCCCAAAAUACUUGUCCCUCUAUUAUUUUAAUACAAAUUUAUCUACAUAUUAAUUGUGAUUUUUUUGAAACUCAACAUUAUUCUCAUUUCUCAAUGCACUAAAUCGCUAUAUUUAUUGUGAUUUUUUUGAAACUCAACAAUAUUCUCACUUAUCAAUGCACUAAUUAAUGAUACAUGUGAUAAGAUUCCAUCUAACCAACUUUUUUCUUAAUAUGUGUGUUUAUUCCAAAAUGGACCUAUAAAUUGAGACGGAGGGAGUAUUACACCAACUACUUUCUUCCAUUAUCUUCAUUUUAUAAUAUAACGGUUUUUCUAUGAUGUGCCCAUGGGCACAUACUAAGCAUCAAAUUUUAUGAAAUUGGAUGGUUUCUAUUGGCUUACUUUCUUUAAUAAUGGUGGACCCCCCUGCAGUUACAACAACCACACCAAUCAAAACCCUCCAAUUUUAUAAAUGUUUGUGCUUAGCAUGUGCCCAUGGGCACACACUAGACAAACCCGUAAUAUAAACACUAUUACACCCACUACUUUCUCCCACUAUCACACAUCUAUAAUUAAAUAUAAAUGGGUCCCGCCACUUUACUCACUUUUCAUCUAACUUUAUUCAUUUUUUACACUUUUUCUUGGUCUCCGUGUCCACACCAAAUGUAUACUACCUAUUGGGAUGGAGGGAGUACGUUACAUUUUUACUGGACAAUGAUUAGCUAGGACAUUGUUUAUAUGAACAUGAAAAGUCAGUCGUCCACUGAGCUAAAGUGAACUUUAGUUAGGUAUACUGAUCAUCAUCAAAAUUUUCUUAUCUUAUCUGUACUCUCUGCCUUCAACUUCUCUCCAGUCUUUGCAGAUGUCUGCCUCAACACCAAAAAUGAGUUCAACACUAGUGCAUUUUAGCCACCCAAAACACUCCCUUGUACUAAAAGAUUUUGAUGUUGUUGGAGAUGAUGCUACAUGCCAUGUUUGUGACACAAGUGUUAUAGGCUCUCCAACAUAUACUUGUAGUGAUGAUAAUACUAAGUGUGAAGGUUUCUAUCUCCACAAGACUUGUGCAGAAUUAAGCACUCCAAUUACUUUCUAUAAGCACAACCAGCACCCCUUGAUCCUCUGUCCGGUUAAAGGGUCUUGUGAUGUUUGUUAUAAUCGUGUUGAGAAAUUCGCUUAUUUAUGUUCUGAUGAUUGUGAAUUUGUUGUGUGUGUGUUUUGCGCUUUUCAACAGAGAGCACUUGAUCAUCCAGGUCAUGAGCAGCACACGCUAACAUUGGUGCCCAGGGAAUCGUUAUUUGCUUGUGAUGCUUGUUCGGAAGAAGCUAAAGACUCUUCGUAUAUAUGCACCACUUGUGACUUUUGGAUUCACAAAAAAUGUGCUCUUUCGCCUUUAACAAUCCCCAAUCCUUCUUACCACCAUCAUCCUCUUGAUCUUAUCUACUCCAUUCCUAAAAUGCAUCGCUAUUUCACACGAUAUUGCAAUAUAUGUCACAAACGGGUUAUGAGAGAAGCCUGGCUGUAUUAUUGUCAUAAAUGUACAUAUUUCGUGCAUGUGAAAUGUGCUACAUCCUCACAUUCAUCACCUUCUGAGUAAGUACUUUGAACUCUUGGUUUUUUUUGGUGCCAUUUUGAUAAUCUGUUUUUCUAUUGUCAUGAUCUAAUGUCUUGAGUACUGCCAUGGCUUAACUAAUUCCGAACUUUUGCAGAAAUGAGAAUGAAGAAGAGGGCACUCCUAAUGAACCAGAUUUAGUAGAGUUUCCUCUGCCUACCGAAGAAUUGCUAUUUGAUCUGAUAAUAUCCCAGUGUUGCAAGCUCCAAGUUGAAUCUCAAGGUAAAGAUGAAAACACUAAUCCUAUAUCAACAGCUCCUGAUCCUCCCAUAAUUAAUCAACACUGGAGUCAUAUGGAGCAUCCACUAGUACACUUCCAGUUCACUACUAGUGAGAAUGAUGACAACGAAAAUAAUUAUAAGAGAAGAGAGUUGAUAUGCGAUGGUUGCAUUCAACCCAUAACUAUUUUCCAUCCAUCUUACUAUGCUUGUAUGAAAUGUGGUUUCUUUCUUCACUCCUUUUGUUCCACUAAGUUGCCAGCAGUAUUGCUAGCAGGAGUAUGUCCUGCUCAUCCCCAACAUUCGCUUCUUCUUUCCCAGAAAAACUACUUCUAUACUUUUGCAAAAUGUGAAAUUUGCUGUUACAGAACAAAUGGAUUCUACUUUCUUUGUGAGACGUGUGAUAUUAGAAUUGAUAUACGUUGUGCAUUCUUACCCACCAAGAUAAAGCAUAAAUCGCACAAGCACCAUUCCCUUGUUCAACGUCCAACCUCCAAUUUUAAAUGCAGUGCGAGUGGUUAUGAUUUUACAAGUCGUACACAAUAUGGAUGUGAAACUUGCAGUAACUUUCAUAUAGAUAUAGCAAGUGCAUUUUAUCCUGGUAGGAUGAAACACAGAUACGAUGAUCACCCUGUAACCUUGAGACAACCUCCAUUCUUCUACGAGGGAGUAUUCUAUUGUGAAAUAUGUGAAGACCAAGUUAAUAAUCAAUGGUGGCUCUAUCACUGUGAGGAAUGCGAUCAUUCUUUUCACAAUAAUUGC
RNAcentral lists this long non-coding RNA (53011 nucleotides) under Daucus carota (carrot). Its description in RNAcentral is "long non-coding RNA (DCAR_LNC002434)". Lineage: Eukaryota; Viridiplantae; Streptophyta; Magnoliopsida; Apiales; Apiaceae. The record is from RNAcentral.